GUCGUACCCAGUGCACAAGGCUCCCGCUUUACGCAGGGUCUGGGAGAGGUGAAUGUCGGCUAGCCUUACCCCCAUUUUAUGGAGAGGCUGCUCCCAACCAACAAGAUGAAGUGUGUGUGUGUAAAAUCCAUUGCACACACAUUUAAAACAUGCAAAAUGCCGGAUCAAAAAAUAACGUUCUUGAGCCAAUGAAAAAUUGGUUUAAGAUGAAACGAGGAACUUGGCGCACCUUCUUAUGGAGAGCCUCACGUGCACCACCAGGAUAAAGCAGUACAUGUGAUUUUGUUUUAAGCAAUUUGAAUAGGUUUUUUGCUGCGACAGGUACUGCACCGAAUAGUUUGAGAACGUCAAAUUGGGCCGAGGUCCCGUUCUUGCCCCAAAACAGUUCUGGAUGUGCUAAUCCACGAACACUUAUGCUCUUCUCUCUUAAAAAUUCUUCAACUAUAGAAUUCAGUUCCAACCCCAAUAAAUUGUGAUAACCAACAAGUAAGACAGGUCCUUCGUUAGGAACUCCAGCAAGACCUCUCACUAUUUUCCCAUCUUCCAACGUUGAGAGCAUUACGGAAGCAGUAGCUAGGCUUAAUAAUCUGACAUUCAUGUAUUUCACUAUCAGCUCUGGCCCCAAACCAAUAAAUAUGUUAAUGGAUGCAACUUAGCGGGGUUCAGGUUAGGUGCAAGUGAAACCCGACAUGAUGUAUCUAUACUACCAAGUACAAUUUGGAACUAACAUGCCUGGAAAUCUGCAUCACAGAAGACGAAACUAACAAAUAAAAGAAAAGUAAAAGUGUUGAACUGACUUACCUGAAUUGUUUAUCAGAUGCAUUUUUCAAUUCCCACAUACUAGGAGGAAGAAAAUCUGAGACAUAAUCAUGCUUCCUUGAACGACGGUAUUUGUAAGUGCCUUUUAUAACUGACAUCAAAUUAACGCCAUCUUCCUGUAACAUGACAGUAGAGCACAUUCAAUCACAUUAGUGUCUUCACAAGUCAAUGGCACCCGAAAAGUAAAGCUUAUAUUACACAGGAACAGCAAAGUAUAGCGAAAUUUGCAUCAAAGAAAACAAAAUUGUUGUCACAGUAAUAGUGUCUAGUGUCCAUUGUCAAAUGGGCAAUUGAUAUCCCGAGAGAGUUCUUGAAGCCAAAACUCAAUCUUUAUUCUUUAACUAGAGAUUUUAUCCAACUUGGGAAUUAAUAAAAGGGUGUUGAGUUCAAAGAACAGAUUCAACAAUAUUCAAGAAAAGAAAUAAAACAGUUUACUUAAAUCAUAUCCAGAAUGCGCCUUGGUUAUUAAUUUAAAGUUAAUGUUAUUAGCCAUUAUCCAACAGACAAAUUGAAGCCAACUUAAAAAUAAAAUUCACCAUCAUCAGUCCAAUGUGUUGCAUACUUACAUCUAUGCAGUUUAAACAAAAUCAUUAAGGGCAUUGAUUUCACAAUGUAUGCUAAACACAUCAUUAAACUUGUCAUCAAUGAUGACAGCUUACAGAAAAUUCAGUAGCAUUUCACCAGACUUGUAAUAAACAGACAUAUUUUAACUUACUAGUAAUAGAGUAUGUCCAUUGUCACUGAAGUGUCGGACUUUACAAUUCUGUAAUGAACGUGCUAGUCGUUCUGCUUCAUCUCGACUUGGAACCAUAUAAUCUUUGCCACUGAAAGAAAAUAAAAAUAAAAAAUCUACACAAUUUUACAAUAAUCAUUUUUAUUACGAGUGAGAGAGAACCACAAUAGGUAUAGUGAAUAUUAACCUAGCCAACACUAGCACUUCAGCUUUAACAGCAUGGAGACGCGAAUUUGCAUAAGCAGCAGCUGAUUUGAGCAGCUUCAGCUUCCAAAGAAGAGUGUCCCUCGGUAUAAUAUCAGCCAGAGACUGAGACGGAAAUGAUAGAAGUAAAUAUUGAAAAUAAGAUAGAAUCCACACCUGUAGACAUUUCAACGAAGUUCAAGAAAAGGAAUUGAAAGCAGUUCUUACAGAGAGAUAUGGUAGCAAAUCAGUCAGGUUGCGAGACAAUUGUGUUAACUUUAAACUGGGAGGAAGCCUAUUUUCAAUGUUAACCAUCGCCAUUUUUGUUGGAUCACCUGGUGGAAUGAAGGUUUAACAUAGUGACAUCAGAGUUCUUGUAUUUGGCAUUGGAAAACAUAGGGACUUGAAACUGCAAACAGUUGUUUCUGACCAUGACACGCUCGCGGAACUUUCCCGGAAAACUAAGAUCCAAAAUUUUUUAAAACUGCUUCCAACAAAUAUAUAUAUGGCUCCCAAUCAACAUAACAUUCAGUACAAGCUAAUGCAAUUUACCGCCGUAUCAAAACCUUCUAAACCAAUUAUUUAGUUCAAAAAUUCAGAAGCUUAUAUUUCAAAUCAUAAAACCUAUUAAUAUAUAAUCCUAAUAACCCAAUUCUCUAGGAAACCAACAAAAAUGAGUUUUCUUGUGAACUGAAAAACAUAAUCUUAUUGACCCCACCAAAUUCCGAAUAUAAAGUAUCAUAUUCUUUUUUACUCCUAGAUUAACAAUUUGAUAGUAAAAUUCAAUUUUCGUUACUGGGCUCCUUCCUGAUCGUAUUGACCAGAUUUGUUCCCAUGAUAAGCUAUAGUCUAAAUACUCACAUUAGCAUUUCAGACUGUAAGAAAAUUGAGACAAAAAACUCAUUGGCUACGACACAGGGCUCAAAACUAGUCAAGUUUCAUAACCGGACUUGCAAGAAGACAACAAUAAAGCAUUUCUACGAUUCUUUUUAGUCAAGGGACGAUAAUGGAGGUCGUAAUCCUGGAUUGGCAGCACCCCAAGAGAAUAAGCAUUCCACAUGCCAAAGUAACACAGUUAAUUGAGACAGGGUUGAAAGCACAGUCAAGGGCCAAAUUAGAAAUGACUUAUCUCACUUCACCAUAAAUUUUUUUGUUAAUUAGAUUCCAGAGCAACAAAUCACGUACCCAUAACAAAGCCAAGUAGAUAGGGAACUGCAAAAUGUAAUUCAUCAGGCAUAGCCUCCAAGAUUGGGAACAGAGGUUGCAGCUGAGACCUUUCAACUGAUGUUGCUACAAUAAAAAACACCAAAAAUGUCAGACUGAGUUGGUGUGUUGAAUACACGCCAUUAGCAUAAUAAAAAUACAUGUUGAAGAAAAUUGAACCGCGCAACUUAUAACAAACCUGGAUUGACUAGUAUCAGUACUAAAUCAAUGGUAGGAUUAUGUGCAGCAACAGCAAGUGACAGGCAUCCUCCGAAGGAAUCUCCUACCAAGUAAAUUGGCUUGUUUGGACAUAAAGCAUGCUCAAGCCUGAUAGUUUCUACGACAAAUUUCACCAGCCCUUAACAGAUGAAACCAAACUAAAUUAUUGAUUGAGAGCGACAUUUUAUCAAGUAAAGAAAAACAAAAAUGAUACUUCAUACAUAUAUAAAGAAUUUCAAGAUUAAGACCUUCAAAUGGUGUUCGAUCAUUAACAGGAAUAUGCAGGCAUCGAACUUCAAAAGCCCUGCAUUUUUCAACGAAUUAUAUCAGAAGCUGCUAGAAAUAGUUUACCUCCAAUUUCAGAGCUAAGAACCUGAUUUUUAGCGCUACCAUAUUUCUCUAUCAAGAACAACCAUUUAUUUGAGUGGAAUUUCGCCAAGAAAAACAUAGUUUAUUAAAAUUGAAGAUAAUGGUUAUCUUACUUCCCAAGAUCCUAACAAAAUUUUGUAAACUACAACAAAUAAAUAAAUUGAAAAACUUACUUCCCAAGAGCUUUAUGGUGCAAAAUGAGGCCCCAGCCAGUACCAUCCAGCCCUGUAUAUGCACAAUACCAAAAGGAUUAUGCAGCAGUCUGUACUAUAAAACUUCACCCAUUAAUAAAGACAAAACAAACACAUUUUACGCAGAUUUAUGUUGUUUAGCUAUUCUACAUAUAUAGACAUAUCCUUUGAAUGCAAAUCACAGUGCCAACAUUAGAGACCAAGUUGUGAUUUAUCAUCUUUGGCACGCCAACAAUUACCAGGCAAAAACAAAAGAAUCGGAGAAUCCUUUAAUGGGCGCCCGCACGCAUUGGGAGAAAACCACCGGGGAGGUCCACCGUCAGGCUUAAUCAUCUCCUUGUUUGCAUGAAAAUAAUCUUUUACAGUGACAGUCCCAUACCCAUCAUCGUACAAAGGUUUCAACCUUUCAAGACCACCACCAUCCUCCACCCUCUUCUCCUCCUCCUUAACUUCAAACCUCAAACUCCCAUUCCCUCUCCUAUCCUCCCUCUCCUCGAUUGCGGAAGCACCAUUAGAAACAAAUGAUUCUGAUGACAACACUGGUGAAUCCCUACUAUCUAAACUCCUAACCUGCACUCGAAACCGAAGCUUAUUCUCCAAAUUCAGCACACAAAAAUGCGGACCCGGAAAGCCUAUAACUGAUGUCAUGGCUUCAAGCAAAAUGCAAAAGAUUAUAAACCCUUUUCCCAAAAACUCACAGAAUUCAGAAACUUUGGAACUCUCAACAAAAACUAGCACUUGGGGAACACCUUAGGUCCUUAACAGAAUGAACAAAAACUGCCGAAUUCAGGACAUUCCCUUAAACCACUCCAGCAGAAACAACCAUGCAUUUAGCACAACAGAAACCUUCCGGCACACUAAAAAAUGGGCACGAAAGUGAGAUUUGAAGCAGACCCAGAUAGCUUACUAGAAGAUAUAGCCUCUAAAACACCUAAAGUCUUGAACUUUCCUCUAAUUUAACAAUAACUGGCAACAAAAUAUGGUAAAAGAAAUGCUCAAAAGGCAAUGUGAACAAAUUGCAGCAAAUUUUUACGGUGCAGAAAAAUAUGGAAAUGAAAUUAUUGGGUGAUAAUCUGCAUUGUACCGGAUGUGGGUCUGAGUGGCAGACCCAAAUAGGUGAGUUUUGUCCAUUUGCUUUAUUGCUCUGGUUGCUAUUAGGCCACAUGGGUCAUCUGACGCUGUGACGUUCGCAAUUCUGGAAGAAGGGGAAGCUCUAUCAGUUAUAAAACCAGUAGUUAACGGUGUGUGACCAGAAGAAGAAAAAGGAGAAUUACAAGGACUUGGUGGGCAAAAAUGGAAGUGUAACUUCGGGAAGGUGGUACUUCUACUUCUACGGUCUUACGACUCUUACCAGUGAGUCCGAGUGUCGCUGUUAUCGCCAAAUGCAGACAGUACGAAAAUGUGCUGUGACGAGAACAAUCGGCACGAAAAGAUCUUUACUUUAUUGAGACCAAGAGAGGAGGCAGGAUAUUUUCUUGUGAAAAAGCAGAAAUAAAAAUAACCUUUCAUAGGUAAUCAAAUACGAAAUUAUUACUGCAAAAUUGUUACAAAAAAACAAAAUGAUUACCGAAAAAUUUGACUUUUGAGUGUCACCCACUUUUAUCUAGAACUUUUAUUGUGUGACAGAAUAUGAGGGUGAGAGCCGUGAGAUAUCGCAUUCACAUAUUAUAAUACAGAUUGCAUAAAUAUAUAGAUAUUUUAUUUAUCACAAACGUUACGCGCCUCUAAUAUUUUUUUAAAAUGUGUUUGAUAAUGUAUAAACAAAAAUUGUGUUAACUUUUAGUUACAGGGCACAUGUCACAUUUUUUUCAAGUUGUCAUGACCAAAUAAUGAUGAUAUGUUUUGAUACAUUUAUCUAAAACAAAAGAUUAACAAUAUCUACGUACUAAAACAUAAAGCUUACUUGUAACGUGAUGUUGUCAUUACCAAAUAAUAGUAUCUUUAAUCAGGAAUGCUAAUUUUCAAACACGAUGAAUUUUAUUCUUACCUUUUACCCACAACAUCUUCCUUAUCGUUUUUGUGUGUUCUCAUCUUUUGCUUUUACUAUCUAAUCCCAGUAAGAUUAAUCUUGGUGUAUCAACACGAUUUGUGGCCAUUAAAACCUAUAUAAGGUGCAUUUGAAGAGGGUGGCUGUCAAUUAAACGAAAAAAUUAAAGAGUCAUACAUGAUUAGUUGAAUUGCACAAACAACAGCAAAUGUCGAUAAUUCUCUUAAAAUUGAAAACUCAAAUAUGCUUAAAAUAAAACAAAAUGACAUCACAGGCCAUAAGAAGCCAAUUUAGGGCUUGUUAAUAAUUCUCUUAUAAGUGUGUCACUACUACAAAACCAUUUAAUAAUGUCGCUAUUAUAACCGACAAAAAACAACUAUUACUGUCGGAUAUUAAGCAAAAUCCGACAUAAAAUGAGUGCAGUGGCGGAUAUAUACUAAGUGACAUAAUUGCUAAUUUUCUGACAAAAAGUACACUAAAACCGACAGAACUUUUAUGUUGAUAAUUCUCUUAAAAUUCUCUUAAAAUAAAUCAAUAAUUCUCUUAUAAGUGUGUGUAAAUGACUUUUUCGACAAAGCUCCGCAGAGUUGAAGAUAGAGCAAACCUACAUUUAAUUAGACAAACUAGUCUUGAUGCACUCGCUCUUGUAAAUAAAGUAGCAAAAGCCAUAGUGAAAAGAAAGCAAGGAUAGGGAGAAGGAGACCCAGAGACCACCGGAGUAAUAAAUCGGCCACGCUCCCCUUCGCAGCGGCCUCCUCAGAAUCCACUAAGCUUGGUAUAUUUCGUAAAUUAAAGAGAAUUCGUGGGUUCUUCUGCAAAAGGUCCGGCCACCGGAACCAUUUAUCCGGUGAUCGGAAUACCCCAGUCCCCAAGAGCACUGAACAGAAGGAAGAAGAGGAGUUAUUGAAUUUUUUUUUUCUUUUUCUUCGUCGUUUCUGCAGAAGAUUCAAAUGAACUAUUUGGUCGCUUCGCUUAUUUUAUCUUCUUUUUUUUCCAAUCCUGUUUUUACCUCUUAAUUUGUUUAUAUAUGGCUGGUUUUGUGGAAACUAUCCGUGAUAACAAAACAAAACAUAAAACUGAAGUAAAUGGAACAGUUGUAUUGAGGAAAACGUGAGAGCGGUUGUGUGUUAGAGAGACGAAGGGCUGGUUUGGUUUUGCUGUGCUUUGAAAAAAAACUGUUGUGAGAAUAAGCGACUGUGAAAUAAAUCAGCAGGGUGUUUGGUAAACUUUUUUGUAAAAAUGCUUUUGGAAAGAAAAAAAAAAGCAGUUUGAUAGUGGGUCUUUUCAUUAAAAGAGCACUGUAGCUCCGUGUGCUUUGAAAAAAAAAACCUGUUUUCCAAAUCUACAAAUAGCAGCUUCAGCUUUUUCCUUUGAUUUCAGCUUAUUCUCACAGCAGCUUCCAAAAUAAGCCAUUUUUUUUCAGUUUACCAAACACCUAAAACCCUCACAGCUUUUUUUCAUGAAUGUUUUUUUUUUAAACACCUCACUCCCAAACCACCUCGAAGAGGAAGAAGAAAGGGGUCGUGGGUUUUUAUCUUCUCUUUUCUUUUUCUUUUUCUUUUUGUUAUUUUUUAAUUUUUUUUUGGUUUAACAUAUUUUUCUUUUUUGUUUUUCACAAAAGUGUCUCUGCUAUUUUGUUUCUAUUAUUUUCAGAUGGUUGUGAAUUUUUUUGUUUGAGGGGCUUUAUAGUUCAAUUUUUUUUUUUUUUUUUUGUGAAGCUUUAAGACAUCAAAUUCUCAUUCUGACUUUCUAAUAUUAAAGAUUGUUAAUGAGCAUAGAAGUAUUAAUCUUUCGCCUAAUUGGAUUAUUGGUUCAUGUGAUAAUAUGAUAGUUAGAAGAUAGCUUCUGUUGUGAACAAAAUAGGAUUUAAGCUCUGGUGGUCAAAUCUGUUAGGAUUUAUACCAAAAAUUGAAAAUUUUGUCAAUUUUUUGUUAAUAUUAGCACAUGAGCCGCACAUAUUAGGCUAAAACAGAACUCUUCAUACACAUAUUAGGCUAAAACAAACAUUUCUGUUAAUAGUUAAGACGUGGGGCUGGUUCACGUGCUAAUAAUUAACAUAAAGUUGACGGAAUUUUCAAUUUUGGGCUAAAUCUUAACAUAACUUAAAUCCUAAUUUUUUUUUUACUACAUGAGCUAUCUUCCAACUACCAUAUCACCACGAAGACUAUUAAUCCAAUUAAGCCUUAAUUUUUCAUGAAUUUAUGAUAGCCUUUUUAGUCAAAAUGGUCAAUUGGCAUACCUCACUUUGAUAUUUAAAAUCGAUAUAAGUGAUCCCUAGAUUAUCAACAUCAAUAAUUUUGAUCAUGCUAUAAAAAAAUCUUCAUAUAAAUAUGCAUUAUUACACCAAUAGAUUGGAACCAUUACGUGGUAGUUUAGCUAUCACACCAAAAAAAUUAUGUCCUCCUAUCCUCGUAACAUGUCACUUUGCCAUAGCACUUUUUUAGUGGUGUUCGAGUCUACCUUAUUAUACAUUUUCUCAAUGAUAAUAGUCAUCUUGCACUUCUUUAUGAUUAAAAUGAACCAGAACAAUAUCGAAUAACAAUUUUAGAGUGGUUAUCAAAAUAUGAGAAAAAGAGUACAUAAUUGUUAAUAACAAUUCCUUUUUGAACUUUCAAGAAUAAAUUUGGUCAAAUAUAAAGAUUUCCUUCCUUUUUUUUACCUCUAAAAUGUUAUUUGGAUGUGAGUAUUCCUCGAUAAAAAUUUAGAGAAUGUUUAAAUAGAAUGCGUUCAUCGUCAUUAUGAUGUUUCCGUUAAAUAAUACAAUCUCAUACGUAAAUUUUUCUCAAAAUAAUAUUGUAUUAUUUGACCAGAACAUUACAUAACGAUAAAUCCGAUUUAUGCAUAUAGUUUCACAAUUAUGAGUGUCCCAAUCCAAUCACUCUUUCCUGAAGUAGACGGAUCAAAGAAAAGCGUAAGGUGUUUUCGUCCACUACCACUAUUACCCUCUUAAGACAAUUCCUGCACGAUUUGUGACCAAGCUUUAGAGCCAAACCCCUAAUCAAUGAGAAAAUGACCAUAGGCCAGACCUAAUGGGACCACUUCCAACUUUCCAAGGGAGGCAGUUCGGUGUCAUUCUCAUUCAUUUUUGUGCGGUCACGGUUAAAUCACGUCAACAUUUUAUAUUAAUUUUUUUAUAAAGAUAAUAAGAUAAAAAACAAUAAGAAUAUAAAAUAUUGACGUAGCUUAACCGUAAACACACAAAUAGGAGAUAAUGAAAAUAACACCCAAACAGGAGUUGGGACAAUCUGCUUCCCUUUCCAAGUCCCAACAUCACCGGCCAGGAAUCGACACGAGUUGGGACGGGAGUACAUGAGAACUUUCGGUCUUUUUGGCAAACAAUUACGUUGUCCAGCAACAAAACAGAGGUUAUUAUUAUUUUUUUUUUAAGGAACAACCGGUGACUUGUCACUGUUAUCCAUCAUUUUUGGGAGCCGGAAAUACUCAUAGAGGCAUUUCAGCAUUUCUUCGCCACAAGUCUAGCUUUCACGCCAGCAUCGAGUUCUGAACCCGAGAUUUGCAGUUUUUAAUUUGAAGAAAGUCUUGUAAUCCGGUCUUUACCGUUGGGUCACCAGCUCAUGGAUACAAAACAGAGGUUAAUUGAAUACUACAAUCUUGAGAUAUUUUUCUUCAAUUGUAAAUAAAAGGUAUUUGGUUCGAAUAUCGUGGAUGACGGAUGCCAAUUUAUUCCUCUAAACGAGAAUGCAAAUCUACAAAUCUUUCAUCAUCAUGCGCCUAAAUUAAUCCGGCCGUUCAGAAGUUCGAAGAAACUUGCUGUUAAUUUCUCAUCCAACGUCGAAAACACUAUCUACCGCCAUGCAGACGACCAAUUGACAAAUCAGCAGCGUCCAGCAAAGCUUCCACAUAAGCAACAAGGCACCUGCCCAACAAGGACCAGGCUAACCAGAGCCUUCUCGGCAAGUUUCGGGAGAUGCCUCUCUAAUGGAUUCGGUAAUCAAUUGAUUUUUCGAACUUUACGAGUGUAUUUCUGAUUACCACGAGGAACCCUAGAAGAAUCAAUGUUUUUCAUUAUCUUAAACAUGAUCAUUUGUAAGUGAAUGAUCUUAGAAUUGAAAAUCGGGAAUAACGAGUUUGCAACCAAUUUUAUUUCAUAUUCCGUUAAUGUAAAUAUAUCGUUUGAUAAAAAACAAAAACGAUAAUCACCUGCACGUAUCAAUCACACAAAAAGCUUUGAACUCCGUAUCGGUAGUUGACAGUCAAAAAUUAAGAUGAGCGUGUGAAAUGUAAAAAUAAGUGUAUUGAUAGUACCCUGGUUUUUUUUUAUUUUUUUUUUUGCGGACGUACUAAUAAAUGUAUUAUGGACACCUUGCCAAUAACUACUAUCUAAUGCUUAAUAACGAGAAACUUUUUGAAGUACCUGGUAUUCAAGUCAGUAUUUAAGUGUCAUAAAACAAAUGAAAUAUCAGCUUGAAUAUCGGAUACUCAGCAAAAAUCCCUCCCCAGUAACAGUUAAAGUAAGUGUAAUAUCAUGUAAGUAGAAUGUCAAUGUGAUAGUAUCGCAAAACAAUCAUACAGUAUCAUGUAGACAAGUUAAAACAUAUAAUAAUGCGUGUUAAACUUGAGAUACGGGUUAUCUUGAUGACUCGGUUGCAUCAAGUCCAUAUUUUCGGUCUCACACACGAAAGGAUAGCUUGGUCCUGCAGAUUCCAUAUGCCAAAAUCCCAUCGAAAAUUUCUCAAAUGAUCUUCAAUUCUGGGUCUGGUUUUUCACACAGAAGGAAUCAAAUAUGCUAUUUCAUUAUAACGAAACCUAAUACGACCUAUCUUGUUAGCCAAGCAAAUUAUGAUAUCCGACGGAAAACAUUACGAGAAUCAUAAAUUUCCUUGGGUUUCUUCUCCAAGUCUCAGACCCCCAAUUUCAAGUUUUCUUGCAACACAAGUUUCAUUCAAUGAACAAAAGACAAUAGGAAGAGAAACAUGGUAAGGUCCAACAAACUUGGGAACAUGAACCAAAACUGAAAAUAAAGCCCAGAUAACAAGGAACACUAGCUGUCAGCUCGAAGGACUCGCGAACGCCAUAGCCGCCAUCACCAAAGUCCAAGCAAAGAGCGUAUACCAGCAGCAGGAAUCCACAAGAAAAAGAGGGCAAACAAAACAACCAACGCAACACCUCCUGCAAAAGCUUCAAAUCAACCAAAACAAAGCCCUAAAAUUGCAAAAAAGAGGAAAACCAAAAUCCUCCAAAGAGAUUGACGGGCCACUUCAGGAGAAACUGGUGGGAAUAACCAAACUACGACUAAUAGAACCAACAGAGACAAACACAUGGAAGGAGGCGGCGCAAGCACCUUAGCUGAAACUCUACACACCUUCCGACAUGGAUUGAUGUUGGAGUGAUCAUUCAAGAAAACCAAAUUUUCAAGGCUCAAAUGUUGGAACUUCAUGUAUAGCGGAAUAUGUCAUCCGAUGCACUAUUCUCUCAAAAACAUUCCUAUAAGGAUCAUCCUCCCGCUUCUUAAUUAAGUAUGCUAAACUGUUUUCAAGGUCGGAUUGUAUCUGCAAGUACAAUUCUUUCGCCUUUUCUUUGUCCUUGAUAAGGAUCUCCUUCUUUCUUUUGGUUUCUAUGGGCAUCCCAAACAAAUAGUAAUACAGUCCCGGUAAAUUUGGCAAAACCACUGGAUUAAAGACUUCUUCUUUCUCAACUCCCCACUCGACUCAUCCCUACAAAACCAGACAACAAUUUAUUCAUGUUUUAUUUUUAUCAAAAGAAGAAAAUUCAGUCUAACAACUAUCGACAAUUAAGAUCAGAUCGAGCGAGGGGAACACAGAAACAAUAACAUGGAGAGUAAUUACCUUAUUCUUACAGUACCGCGACUCGAGUCUUUGAGAUGGUCACUCAGCUUAGGGAUCUUCAUUAGGGCAUUCCUGUCAAGAACCAACUGCUAGAUAUCCAAUUAAGAAAAAAAUCCAAGUAUAUAUCUAAUCACUACAAGAAAUACCUUCACUAGCUUAGCUACUAAGAACAAACUAACGCGAGCUUACUUGUAGUAGAUCAUCUUCUCCCACGGCCGCAAAUGGUACAAUUGUGGCUCCAAAACCUGCAGCCAUUCUCAUGAAUUCCGGUCCGUCAGCCAGAAUAACUUGUAUUCUUCACCCUGCCAAUCGAUACAAACACCAUAUAUGGGAAGCCGAAACUAUAACAGAUAGAUAAAAAUACCAGCCAAAAUGAAGUGUUUUUGUAAAUUCCAUUGCAUACACAUAAAACAUGCAUAAUGCAGGAUCUAAAACUAUGCUUCUUAAGCCAGCUACUGAAAUUAAAUUGGUUUAAGAUGAAAGUGCAAGGAAGGAAGGAACUUGGAACACCUUGUUAUGGACAGCUUCACGUUCGCCGCCAGGAUAGAGCAGAACAUGUGAUUUUGUUGCAAACAAUUUGAACAGAUUUUUUGCCGUGACAGGUACUGCACCCAAUAGUUUGAUCACGUCAAAUAUGGGCGAGCUCGCAUGCUUGCCCCAAAACAGUUCUGGAUGUGCUGCUCCACGACCCAUUGUAUUCUUCUCUCUUUAAAGUUCAAGUGAAGAAAUUGGUUCCAAUCCCAGGGACACUUCUAUGUUGGGUCCAAUUUUAAAUCUCAACAUGUUAACUGUGAAGCAAAUGGGAUUGCACAUAGGCUUGCAAGGUAUGGUCUUUUAGUGGAACAAGAUUUGAUUUGGUUUGAGAAACUUCCAGAUGUAAUUGCUGUCUUGUUACUAAAUGAUAGAAUUUAAUUGUAAUGGAUGCAAGAACACUUUUUUUCUUUCGACCUGCUUGAAAUCUCAAACAAAGUUUAAUCAAGCCCAAAUAUAGGAAAGGAUGAAAUUGAAGGGAAAAAAUAUAUAUAUCUUAUGUAUUUAGUAAGUUUAUUAAUUUCGUUUACUGACCAGAGGUUUUUUUUUUUUUUUUUUUUGAACAAUCGAUACAAUCUAUACUAAUGUGGAAAUGAGUGGACUUAGCCUCACAAUGGGCUAACAAUAAUGUAGUUUAUAUUCGCAUUUGGCAAGAAUAGAACCUAAGAUCUUUUGCUUACAAGUAAAGAAAAAUACCACUAAACCGUAGUACUAAAUGGUUAUACGGACCCGUGUUAAGACUGAAAGAUUUUUUAUGUGGUCAAGCUUAGAGCCAAACCCUAAUGGGACCACUCUUAAGACAAUGCCUGCAAGCAACAAGCACCAUAAGCAAGCACGACCACAAAAUUUGCUUCUGCUUCUGGUCCUGGUCCUGGUACAGCUCACUCAUUCAAAAGUCGAGCAAUCGACACCGGUUCGGAACAUAAAGCGCGUGCCGGGUACACUAUGGGAACUUUUGGUCUCUUGCCGGACGUUUGCAUUGUCUCAUGAACAAAACAGGCAAGUCCUGAACCGGAAAUAGUUACACAGAGAAUGUAAACAUAAAAUUACAGUAGAGUAAUCUAAGAAGCGGGAUGUUCUUACACAAACGACAUCGAAAUCAACCCGGAUGCCAAUGGCAACCAAAACAAAAGUGAAGCAUUACAAUAACGAAAGUACAGCCCCAACUCGUACAAAAUUAUAUAUACAAGGUAAACAAAGUAAACAAGAAAAACUACCAGUCAAUACAACAAUUUCUAACCCGUAGAAUGCAAAAUCGGGAUUUCAUUUAUUGUAAAAUCUUUCAGAAGAUAAAAAACUACACGAAGGAGCAGAACGAGGUUAAUGGAAAAGAAAUCUGGAAAUGAAGCAGAAUGAUACUGUCUUAUUCUGUGAAACAAAUUAUAAAAAUUCCUUUCACAAUAGAAUGUUCUAUGGCUAGGUAUCGUACCCGACAAUAUAAAUCUACAAACCUUCCAUCACCAUGUGCCUAAUCCGGCUCUUCAGAAGUUCGAGGAAACUUCGUGUUGAUUUAUCAUCCAGUCGAAAACUCUAUGUACUGUCACACGCAGACAACCAAUUGACAAAUCUGCAGCGUCCGCAUCAGCAACAAAGAUCAUGAUGCUCCUUUGCCCAACAAGGACUAGGCUAACCAGAGCCUUCUCGGGAAGAUCUGGGGAAUGCCACUGGAUUCAGCAAUCAAUUGGUUUUCAAACUUUACAAGUGCCACGAGCAACCCCAGAAUAAUCAAUGUUUCUCAUUAUCUUAAACACAAUAUCACCUGCAAGUGUUAAUGACAAACCUUUGAGGUACAGCCCCGUCUCGGUAAUUAAGCGGCACAACAUUUUUAGGCCAACAUCAGUUUUUAAGGAAGAGAAAAGGAGCCAUGUUCUAAGACAUGUCAAUAUUGGUUUUUUCAGGAAGAUAGAAAUGUGCAUUAAAUUUUGCAGGCAUAAUAAUAAAUGUCUGUUAGUAGCUACUGUCAUUCUCGCCAUCUAUAGAAACAUAUAUAUAUAUAUAUAUAUAUAUAUAUAUAUAUAUAUAUUUAUACACGUAUCCUAUAUAUAUUUUUUAUCCUUGUAGAUCACUAUAUACUGCUUAAUAACAGUUACCAUAAGUGGAAAAGGCAUUUUUUACUACAAAUUUACAAACGAUCUGAAUGCAUCAAAAACUUGCAUAUUAGCGAAAGCAAAGGCACCUCACCUCUGGAAUCUAGCACAGAAUCACCUGCCCUGAAUCACCCUGUAAUUGAGAAUCAGAUCCUCAGAUUUCUUCCAUAUAUAAGCCCGCACCGUGGCUAAGCUCAUGUCUGAGGACAAGACCUGCGCAUAACAAAAGGAUAGGUAAUAACCAAUAGCAGUCACAGAACUAGUAAAUUGCAUAUAAGUUCAACCAAGAAUACAUUUAGCUGCUAAUCCCAAAAACAGAAAAAAGCAUUUACCACUGUCUUAAACUUUUAGCAGUUAUAGUUUUGUUAAAUUUUUAAUUGCCACAAAAGAAUCCUACUAAACAGUUUAUUUGCUAAUUACUAUGCAAGUGAUUACGUCCAUCCAAGAUGUUUGUCCACUUGCCUGAUUGUUACACAAUAUCUCUAUAGAAGGCUUAAGCUUUUGCCAUUGCUUCAAUCCAGAUCGGAAGGAUCCAUCUCCUACCGAUGAAAGCUGCACUGGCCCUCCAGCAAGACCAGGAGCAAAUGUUGCAUCAGGAUUGGCACUAUCCAAUGGUUUGUCAAGGACCAUCUUCUCAACAACAUAAUUAACUACCUGCAUAAAAUUUCCCGUUAGUAAAGUAUAAUAAAUAGGAUGCGCGCACACAUACAAUAAUGAGUACUUGAAGAACUUCCAUCCAUUCAUGAGCUAACAUGAAAUGCAGAAUUUACUUUAUGGAUUCGUAAAAUACGAGGGGCGCUUAGUUUCCCUUGUGUGAGGAUCUGGACAGUUGAACCUUCACAUGGAUGUAGAUAAAAACUGCACCUGAAAAAAAUUAACAAAAGAAUAUUUCUUUUAUAAGAUAAUACAAAAGGACAAAUAUUUCAAACAUAAUGCCUUCAAUAGCAAAUUUCGGUAAUUGUUUAAAAUUCAACAUGCACAAUUUUAGUUGCAAAUUUCAGGCAAGUAAUUCUUUUUUAACACAAGCACCAUAGUCUACUGAAAACCGAGAAGAGAAUUUAUUAUUCUCGGGCACAAAGUAAAAACUUUCUACUAAAGCAAGGAAGUUACUUGGUAUUUUCUCUAGGGGGUAGGCGAUUAUUCAACACGCAAUCGAGACACCACCAGGGAAAGUCCUUCUCAUCUUCAGUACCAUCUAAGUCAGUGAUUUUCUUCCUCCAUGGUCCCCCCUGAGAGCCCUCAGUAAUAAUAGAAGGAGGGGAAGUUGUAGAAAAUUCGAAGGGAGGAUAGACCAUUGAAUCAUUUUCAUUAUUACUAUCCACCUCAAUUCUUGAAUGGGUAAUACUUCUAGUAGUAAUAUCCUUUCCGGAUGACACAUCCCCAUUAGCUGAUGCUUGUGAUCCAAAUCUUUGCUUUCUUUUCCCCAACCAAUGAGCCAAGAGCCCUUUAAGGGUUUCUCGUGCUAGAUUAACCUGAAGAAUUACAAAAAAUCAUUUCUAACAGAUAUAUUUAUUUUCUCAAACAAUUUUGUCACGGGGGUAAAAAGAGAUAAAUCGGCUGACUUGGCAUAACUAAUAAAUGGUUAAAUGUCACAGUUAAGGAAAAAAAAAAAAAAAAACAGAAACCAUAGAACCCACAAAAAAGGGGGCGAAAAAACAUAGAAUGACAGUCAAGGUUAUAUCUACCUUGUCAUCUUCAGGCUUCCCCACAAUGUUCAGGUCUGCUGAAUACAUCUCUGCCGAAAAGCAUUGUGGGGUAUCUAAAUGUACGGAUAAACUUCCAAGUCUGGUAUCCACAGUGAACCAUGCAGGAAUGCUCACCUGAAGCAAUAAAGAAAACACUAUAAAAAUCCAUCAAUGCUGUCAAGCUGAAAUCAUUGUAGACUAGGAAGCAUACCAUCUCAAAAAGCUCUUCCUUUUUCUCCUCAAAUUUGACCUGUAUGGUACACAAUAUAAGUAUUGUUAUAAUGUUCCUCAUUAUGGCAUUCGCCUCUAACACUAUUAUAUAAAUCUAGUUAGAUAAUAGAGUAUAGGAAAAAAAGACUAUAACCUUUCCAUAAUCCUCAAUGACAACACCCCUCGUAAUCUCCCACAACUUCACUGAAUCAGCAGUGUCCUAUCAAGGUCACAUUGGUUCAAAAUAUUUAAUUAAGCAAUGACAUACAGUUUGACAACAAAACUAGAUAGUCAAAAUAAACUUUAAACAGGAGCAUCAUCAUAAUAACAUAUGAGAAAAUCAACAUGAUUACCCUUGUCAAGACAUGCCUUCUAUUGUUUAAUAUUUCAUGUUGCACUAUUCCAGGAAUUCCAGGAAUCGUAAAAAUAGGUUCUUUAUUAACAGGGACCUGGAAAACAUCCACAAUAACAUUAAUCCCCAAAACUCAAAUGUCUGAUGACGUGACAAAUAUCAAAUAAGACUGCGAAGAAAAAGGUGAAUAGCUACCAUGAUAACUAGAGCAUGGUACAUGCACAUGCAACAAGACAUAAAUUUUGAAUAUAAAGAACAAAGUAAUACUUACUAGGGUUGAUCCUUCUAAUGACACCCUUGCUCUUGAAAAGGACAAAUUUCCAGCCAAGAAUGCACCACCUCUUUGAAUUAUCUUCUGGGGAUUACUCCCUUCAGCAGGCCAUCUAUGAACUGAAGAAUCUGUUGUUGCAACCCAUAUACUAUCAUCUUGUAAAGCUAACUGCAGAAUGGGAUGUUCCCCUGUGGAAAGCAAGAGACUCUCUCUUGUGGCCAAGUCUGUCAAGUAUAACUGAGGGUAUAAACAGAAUUGAGUAUUAAAAAAAUGAGCAGAAAAACUAAACAUCCAAUGAGUUCUGAGAAGAGAAUUUACAAGAGAACUGUACUCACAGAAAGAUCUCUCCCACCACUAUAUACAUGACUAAAUGUUGGGGUACUGGCAAGUGCCCAAACAGAAUCUGUAUGCACAGCAUAAGAAUGCACACAGCGCUGCUGACCAAGAUCCCAUAGCCUGCAAAACAGAAAGAAUUUGGUGAACCAUGUUCUUAAUAAAAUACCAACUUCCUAUCACAAAAACAAUCAUAUCUUUCAACUUGCACCUAAUGCUAAUUGUUUCCAUUGGAAGAGAUGUGGGUACCAACCUGAUCAUUGAAUCAGAAGAUCCUGAUAAGCAAAAUCUGUAAAAAUGAAAUUAAAAGAAAGAACACACUGUUAAUGAUUGUAACCAAAACAAAUUGUAUGAAUAUAGCACAGAGAACUACCCAAUUAGAUGAAUAAAUAAUUCAUUAUCAAAUCAAGGUUGUGACUUGCUUGUUCAAUACAUUUGCUGUAUCAUCUAUAAAACAUAUUACAAACUGAACUAUCAAGACCAAAAAGUUUAACAGAAAUCAUUUUUGAAGUGCUCAACCAAGACAGCGUAUGAAAAACUUAUCCAGCCAACCUUCCAGUAGAAUCAAUCAGCAGAGCCCUGAUAUUAUCUGUAUGCCCUCUUAGUUUCAUUUUCUUUGAACCUGUUCUUGGAUCCCAAACACGAACAACCUAAACGGCAUCAGGAUAUAAUUAAUAGUUAUUAACACUUUCUGGUAAACCUCACACACUAACUAAAAGACAAAAGAAAAAUAUUCAACCAAAAGUUGGUACACUUCUGCAGUUUAUAAGAAAGUUUCAUGUCUUCGAGAUAAAAAUAAUAAAAUUAGGACACAGCCAACCCUAGACAACAAAAUAUACCUUCUCUGUUCCACCAGAGACCAGAAGCGAUCCACUAUCAUUCAUUGCCAAUGCAUAAACUGAUUCCUUAUGACCUUUAGCAGAGAUUGGAACAUAUCCAUGUGGCUGAGUUGUGUGCAUAGAAAUGCAGUUGCUAGAGCUGAUAGUACGUAAACUUGUAAUUGCAUUUCCAGAACCAUUGACAGCAUUUGAACUAUCAUCUUCCAUUGAUUCACCUGACUUUGCAACUGGAGUAAGAGCUGCUUCAAGAUCCCAUACAAAAACCUCCCCUCCAAGUCCACCAGAGGCAACAAUAUUGCUCUAAAAUGCAUGACACUACAAAAGGAUCAGAAACUUUCUUUUUCGAUAUCAUAUUCAAGAUAAAACUAUACAAAUACAUAUGGAAAAGAUGUCCGUCCAUAUUAAGUGCAUAAACUAUUAAAAUACAGCAGAAACAUUACAAUUAGAACAUAAGUCCCAAACAAUCAUGAUUAAUCAAAAGAAAGAGAAUGUCCAUAAAAUGCCUAUGAGAUGCAGCCCACAAAAAUGUCAAGUACUGUUUCCUUCCAAAGACAUCUACCUCACCCCUCUUAUCUUUAGUUUCUUUUCAUCCAAACAAGCCAAAUGAGUGCAAAGACUAAUCACCAAAGGGUGAUCAUCUGUUCAUUAGCAGAAUCCCCAAAAGAGUCCUCCACAGACACAGAAAAUCACUAUCUGGGCAGCAUUACCCACCACUCCAAACACUUGUAGGAACUUAUUCAAGAUUUGAGAAGUUCAAAUGAAUGCAGAAAGAUGCAAUCUAAACUAUCAGCAUAUUCAGGUCUUCCAUAAGAUAUGCAACGAUGCCACCAAGCAGAACUCAAACUAUCAGCAUAUAGAAUGAGUGCAAUGACAAGACCUAUGCAUUCAUAAGGCAGAUGAAAAUUUGAUGAGAAAAUUACAUUUUUCUCUGCGGAAGCAAGGCAUGUGACAUAGUCAGAAUGCUGACGAAGAGUUUUGGUACAAGCUCCGUCUGACAUGCAAUUCCACAUCUGACGUAUCCAUAUGACAGUUGAAAUAUAUAAAAAAAUACAAAUGAAUCAGUUACAGCCAUAAAGAAAACACAAGUUACAAAACCAAAACAAAGCAAAACAAAGAUCUAGGCCAAUGAACCUUAAUGGUGGUAUCUGAAGAACAAGAAACAAGCGUAUUAUAACCUGCAAGAACAGCAUCAUUAACCUGCACAACAGAAGUACUCUCAUUUUAACUUAUGCAUGCAGUACAGGAAAAAAAAAAGUAAAUAUCACUUUUUCUUAAAAGUAAUACAACGACUGUAUUAAAAGGUGCAUGUCUGGAGCUACGAACAAUACAAUGUUGAUUCAAAAAACAGUCUAAUAUUGUGCACAACACAAGAAAGUUUGUGCGCACAACAUUCUUCCAUUUGUUUUCCCUUUUAACAAUUUGUAUGCUGAUUGAUCUAGUUUAAACAUCCUACAUGGAAAAGAUUCCAAUAUAAACCGACUCCCCAACCCUGCCUUAUAUUAAGACAAGAAGAACAAAAUCCACUCAAAAUUGAAGAGUAAGUAAUUCUCAUCAAUUUCCAUGAGAGAAGAACUCUCAAAAUUUAAACAUCUACAGAGCUUAAAUGGCACGUUUUGUUUUAAAUAAACAAAACUAGGUUUAAACAUAGGAAGAAAAUGGUUACCCAAUCCACAUGAGACUCAAAGGUUGCUGAACACGUAGCAGCAUCUUCGGCCAGCGUCCAUCUUUUUAGUGUGCCAUCACGGCUUCCAGUAAACAGGUAAUCACACCCAGACACUGAUCCCUUAAGUACAGACAAAGAAUUUAUGCCGGCACAAUGCUGCAGAGAGAAACAAUCCAAACGUGGUUAAGCAUCUAUAAUUUAACACUAACAAAAUGUUUGAUGCAAAAUGCUUAUGUAGGCAGAUUAAACAAAAGUUACUAUACGUGUUGUGCCUUUUAAGUCUAAAAGUGAGACAUAUACUUUAAAAUAUAAAAGAUUUUGUAACCAAUAAAAACUUAAAUACAGAACUUAAAACAGAAAUCAGGAAAAAAAAUACAGAAUCAAUUCACCUUCGUGUCGUUGGCAUCACUCAACACAUAUGUUAAUCUCUUCUCUUUACGAGGGCGAGUGGAAUUGUUUGUGUUCCCUGAACUACCCACUCGGUGCAUCGCAUAAACAACUACAAAGAGAAGCAUUAAAAUUUAAUAAUCAAAGAUUAACAAAUAAAUGUAAACAAUGAAUUCCUAUUCCUAAAAAGUGACCCUAAUUUUAGAAUAUAUUUGGUCCUAGCAAGUUUGUCGAACAAAAGGCAUUGUUGAAACUCCAAAGGUAAAUAUACCACAACGACGUCUUAGUUAUCCACUUGAGUUUUUCAAUACAACGAAGCAUAACAUAGGUGACAUAUCCAAUACAGAUGAUGUAAUAAAUAUGCUUUCUCGACAUGUUAAGGAAUAUUCUAUCACGUAAUCAGUUCUCAACCUAUGAUGAAUAAUUUGAUGAACUUAUCAAUACCUUAUGCAACUGCAACUGCAAUGAAAAGAAAUGAAUUAGACACUUAAGAGUUAACACGUAUUAAAGUUGCUAAUCUCCCAAAGAAUGUAAUUGGUAUGUAGAUUACGUUUGACAUGUCAAAUGUAAUAAAUUUGACAAUCCAACCUCUUCCCACUUUCUCGUGUGAUAUUGCCGGGAAUCAUUUUACUGUUUAAUGUUUAUUUACCAACAAAAACAUUAGCUCUUAAAAAUAACAGAUGAAAUGGUGAUACUUCUUAGCCCUAUACAACACACAGCACCAAAAAACCGCAGAACCUCAAACUCCCCGACUGCCAAAACCCGCAGUUAUAUAAUCGAUGAAACACACUAUAAAAAAAAAAAAAAAAAAAAAAAAAAAAAAACCCCGAAAAUAAUUGCUGACCAUCCAGAGCAAUUGCAAAAUGUUCUAUUCAAUAGUUUUCAAUACCGCCAUUUCAACUAACCCAAUACAACUUCGAUUAGUCUCAGAAUUUCCAUGGAAUCCGUCAAUUUAUCCAAAAAAUUCCCGACUAUCACUCAAUUUAAGCACCAAUAAUCAACUCAAAAAAUUGACUAAAACAGAUUAACCAGGUCACCAAGUCUACUAUUAACCCGAACCUCCUCCAGAUUAAGACCUCAAAAGCACAACCAGGAUUAAAAAACACAAAAACCCACUAAUCAUAUUCGUAUCUACCAUUCAGAUGAUCAACUAAGUUAAUUACUAUUCAAAAUGCAGAGAAAACUAAAAAUUAAUACAAAAAUUAGUGAAAUUAACAGAGUGGAAAACCCUAACCUUACCAAUCAGUGAAGAAAUUGGAAGCUCCCUUUUUUUUGCUGCUCCUCGUCUUCUUCUUCCUUCUUCUUCUUCUUCUUCCACUGAGUUGCGAUUUCAGAGAGCGGAAAUUUUUGGGUGUGGGUUUCGAUUUUAUUGUGGGCGAGUCCUUUGACUCGGUUUUUUGGGGUUCUGAUCGAGGUUAAUUUCGUCUUUUUGCGUGAGUAUAUGAAUUUAUGAAGGGCGUGGACUUUAUAUACACUCGCGGGUGUGCGGCUGGAUCGACACUCGCUUCGCUGGCAAUUGGUUCGUACUGUGGGGCCAGACUGGGAAGAAUACGGUUGAGUUACGAAACGGCCCCUGGGCCGAUGUGGAAACGGGUUCGGACUCCGGUUAUGGUAAUGGGCUCGGACUCCAUAUAUUUAUGUAAAAUUCCUUUUCUUCUCUUUUGAUGAACAUUUAAAUUUCCUUUUGAAUAACUUUUUUUUAAAUAACUUUUUACUAAUAAAUACAGAAGUUUCUUGACUUUAUUAUGGGCUCGUUCGUUUGGAAGUGUUUUUCAGAUGUUUGAAACGUUUUUGGUGAAAUUGUUUUUAGAACAAAUUCUUAGUAAAAGUGUAAGUAAAUUCUAAAAAACAUUUAAAGUACUUCAUAGGUCAUGCAAUGACUUAGUAUGUCCAUUCGUUUAGGUUUUUCAAUUUUAUUUCCAUAUUUUUGUAAUGAAGUAGCCCAUAAUUUGGCUAUGUUUACUUUCCUUUGGGUGUAAAGAUGAAUUAUUACAGAUAGAGGAGACAGACGACUCUUAAGUUCCAGGAGGCAAAAUGAGAUAAAAAAAUUUAGAGGGCAAAGUAAAUCAAACUAUGAGGUUUAGAGAGUAAAGUGACGACUUUUGAAUUACAAAGAGCAAAGUGAGAUUAAAAUUGAGUUACAGAGACGUAGUUAAAAAUAUGCCACUUAGUAUUGAUGGAUACUUUGCAUUGGCAAUUAUACAAGGAAUUUAGUGAUUUUAUACUGCCUUAGUGUUGUUACUUCAGCUCUUGGUAUUCCUACAUUGUUGCCAUUCUUGAAAGCCGUGUGUCAAAGCAAGAAAUCGUGGCAAGCACGGCACACUGGAAUCAAGAUUGUUCAGCAGAUUGCCAUUUCGAUCGGGUGUGCUGUUCUUCCCCACUUGAGGUCUCUCGUGGAAAUUAUAGGGAAUGGUCUGAGUGAUGAAAAUCAGGUGGUCCGGACAAUUACUGCUCUCUCUCUCUCUCUCUCUCUCUCUCUUGCUGCUCUUGCUGAGGCUGCUGCCCCAUGCGGUAUUGAGAGCUUUGACUCAGUGUUGAAGCCUUUGAUGGAAAGGUAUUAGAUCUCACCGCGGUAAGGUUUUGGCUGCCUUCUUGAAGGCAAUUGGUUUCGUUAUUCCCCUCGUGGAUGCAAUGUAUGCUAGUUAAUAUACAAAAGAAGUGAUGGUUGUUUUGAUUCGAGAGUUCCAGUCUCCCGACGAAGAGAUGAAGAAAAGUGUGCUUAAAGUGGUGAAACAGUGUGUGAGUACAGGAGUAGAGCCCGAGUAUAUAAGAAGUGGUAUUCUGCCUGAGUUCUUCAAAAGCUUCUGGAUUAGAAGGAUGGCUUUGGAAAGGAGAAACUACAGGCAAUUGGUGGGAAACAACUGCGGAGAUAGCAAAGAAAGUGGAUGCUGCUGAUAUAGUGGGGGAGAAUUGUUCAGGAUCUCAAGGACGAGAGCGAACUGUAUAGGAGAAUGGUUAUGGAGACAAUCGAGAAGGUGGUUGUGAACUCUGGUGCAUCUGAUAUUGAUGCUCGGGUGGAUGAGCUUCUCAUUGACGGUAUCCUUUAUGCUUUCCAAGAGCAGACCAGUGACAAUGUUAAAUGCGAUGCUUAAUGGAUUUGGUGCAGUUGUGAAUUCUCUUGGGCACCUUCCUCCGAUUUGUCGUAACACUAAGUGGCGCUUGAAUAACAAGGGUGCAAAGGCACAAGCUACCGAUCUUAUUUCGAGAACCGCUGUUGUCAUGAAGCAGUACCAAGAGGAGCAACUGAUGGGUCAUCUUGGUGUCGUCUUGUAUGAAUAUUCGGGAGAAGAGUACCUAGAAGUUCUUGGAUCAAUUCUGGGAGCGCUGAAGGAAAUUGUGAACGUUCUUGGUAUGACAAGGAUGACACCUACUAUAUGACUCCAAUGUUGAAAUAUAGGCACGAGAAAGUCCAGGAGAACUGUAUUGACCUUGUUGGUCGUGUUGCUGAUCGCGGUGCUGAGUUUGUUCGAGCAAGGGAGCGGAUGAGGAUCUGUUUUGAACUUCUUGAGAUGCUUAAGGCUCAUAAGAAUGGUAUCCAGCGUGCUACUGUCAACACUUUUGGGUACAUUGCUAAAGCCAUUGGCACACAAGAUGUCCUUGCCACUCUACUGAACAAUAUCAAAGUGUAGGAGGGUUAGAACCGUGUUUGCACCACCGUGGCAAUUGCGAUAAUAGCUGAAACCUGUUCUCCUUUUACAGUGCUUCCAGCACUAAUGAACGAGUAUCGUGUUCCAGAGCUUAAUGUGCAGAAUGGUGUUUUGAAAUCCCUCACUUUCUUGUUCGAGUACAUUGGUGAGAUGGGGAAAGACUACAUCUACGCAGUGACCCUGUUGCUGGAGGAUGCCCUCAUGGAUGGAGAUAUCGUUCACGGGCAAACUGCAGCUUCUGCUGGUAAGCACAUGGCUCUAGGUGUAGCAGGAUUGGGAUGCGAGGACGCAUUCGACCACUUGCUGAACUACGUCCGGCCAAACAUAUUCGAGACAUCCCCGCACGUUAUCAAUGCUGUCAUGGAAGCGAUUGAAGGGAUGAGAGUGGCGUUAGGUGCUGCUCUCCGGGGGCUGUUCCAUCCUGCUAGGAAGGUUAGAGAGGUGUACGGGAAGAUUUACAACUAGCUGUAUAUCGGAGCUCAAGAUGCUGUCGCGUCGUACCCUUUGCUCGAGGACGAGGAGCAUAAUGUAUAUACCAGGCCCGAGCUAAUGAUGUUUGUAUGAGCAGCUGCUGCUGUAAGUUGGGACCCUUUUGGUUGCUUUAGUUUUUCCAAACCAGUAUACGUUACUAUGCUUAUGUUCAAUAUUUCGUUUAUGCUACAAUGGGUUGAAGUUAUGAAUUACAACCCGAAAGUGCCAGUAACCAAUUGGUUUUACAGUGGAACCUCAUUUUUUGUCGUGGUAUCAAAGUAUGUUUACCUUUAUGUUGGGCUUAACAACUCACGUGCUCUUAUAUCACUCAAUAUGCAAUAUAUAAGGUUUGAAUGACGUCAUAAGUGAGGCGUUUUGUAGAAAGUUUGAUACAUCGAAAAAUUAUUAAACCUUGCAUGGAUUUACCUCUUAUUGGUAAUUUGUUGUAGGGUGAAUACUCAGCUUCACCUUCUAAGUCACGGUUAAUUAAGAAGCAACUCGUGAACUCACCAUUCUUUCAUUCGAUCUCAUGCACUAAAAAUAUGUCAUAGGAUGUGAUAUCCACUGUUAUUUGAAAGCUCGUAAUUUCACUAUUUUGGUUUGUCAUAUAAACUUUCAAAUUAAACCGGUUAAGUUGGUUGGUUUGAUGUCAGAUUGACGGUUGUUUUGACCCAUUUAAUUAAUAGAAGUAAAUUGACACAUCUUAAAAUAUUAGCAUGACUAAUAACCAAAUUAAAAGUCGAGAAGCCGCAUCAAAACAAUGUUGUAACAUCAGAACAAGCGUCAAGAGAGAAAAGUUGUGAAAUUUAGUAGGAUGAUGGAAGGAGGAUAGUGGUGGAGGGAAUGAGAUCCAUUUCAGAUCUAUGUUUUCAGAGUCAUCGGACUAAGAGAUCUAGACCGUUUAAGAGAAGGAAAAAAAGAUCUGGACCGUUAAAGUUUGGAUUUUUGUUAUAUGGGCAAGUAAGAUGAGAGUAAUGAGAGAUCAUAGGAUUGAAAUUCAGUGGUGCGGAUCUCCAAGUCUGCAGUCUUUAAACACAGAAACACAGAGUGCAUCCCAACCCGUUGUGGAGUGGUUAAGGUUUGGUGGGGUAUGUGUGUAAACAACCACUAAAAAAUAAAAUUGGUGGGAAGUGAAUAUAGUAGAAGCAAAGCAUUUAACUUUUCCCUCCUCCGCUCCACACGCUCCUCUGUCCUGUCCCCUGCCCCCAUCUCUGAAAAAAAACAGAAGGAAAUAAAACUGCUUUUACAAUACAGUUUUAGAUCUUGACCACCCAAACAGAAUCUUAAAAACACAUGUUUUCUUUCAUGUUUUUUAUUUUAUUUUAUAUUUUACUGUAACAAAAAACCCUCACCUGCUAACCAGGGUCGUUAGAUUGUUUAAUCAUUGAGGUAACUUUCCUGGGUUCACGAAAUCUGAAUUUUUACUAUUUUCUUCCCUUUUUUUAAUUAAGGUUAUCGAAUUACUGCUUCUUUUUCUGUUUAAAUACCUUUUUUCUUGUACUUGUACUUGAGAAGAAGUUGGAGGAAGGAAGUGCUUUUAAUUUUUUAAAGUUCUUUAAUUUACAUCAACUUUCAGUUGUUUCUUCGUUCUUUAUUGGUAAGAUUGGUCCUACAAAUUCUUGUACUUGACUUAAGUUAAGUGCUUUCUCAGAACUCAGAAGUGCUUUUUCUCUCUCUUCAAAGGGUCAGCUGUUGUUGUUGUUCUGUUAGUGGGAAAAAUGUUGAUUUCAGCUGAAAAAAAAAGGGCAGAUCUCGUUGCUUUCAGUUAAUGUGAACGAGUCCUUCCAAUCACGUCGUCUCCGAUGGAAUCAUCUAACGGUCCAGAUUCCACCGAUGGGUUGCCAUCCAUUGACUUUUCGGAUUCUCCUCCUCCUCUUCCCACCAUCUGUACGGACGUCAAUGUCGUCCCUGAGCACGAAAAGAAUGAGCUCCAGCAGUCCAUAUCAAAUCUUGAAGGUAAAGUUUUUGAAAAUUUUCAGUUUCUAGUAAGCUCGUUUAGGACGUAUUGCUUAUGGAAGGGCUAAAAGCAAAAGCGCUACGAGCAGAAGCGCUUACUUGAUCUAGCAAAAGCUGUAAUUUUUUUCAAUUGGGUUUUGUAGGAGAAAUUGCACAGUUGAAGCAGAAGCAGAAGUUCUUGGAUGAGAAGAGGAGAGAAUCUUUGAACAAGAUUAUAGACAUCAAAGGUAAUGUUGGGUCACAAUCAGAUCAAUCAUAAAUUUCUCCGAAAUGUUUUUUUUUUAUUUUUGGUUUCUUUGUUUUUUUUGUUUUGUUGUAUCAAGUGAAGUGAGUGUUCAGGUAGUAUUCGAGUGUUCUGUCGGGUCCGACCGUUCCUAGUGAUCGACAGGAGAAGAAUCCGGGAACCCAUUUCGGCCGGAUCGGAGAAGAUUGCGGUUAAGACAGCCGGAACAAGAAAAGAAUUUGAUUUUGAUAAGGUUUUUCCACAAGAAACCAGUCAAGGUUAGUGUUGGAAUUAAAGGAAUGCGUGUUUUACAAGUUUGAUUAUUUUGUUAAUUGUUUCGAUUCGUAGUGUUGAGAGUGUGAAUCGCACAUCGGGAAAUUAAAGUCUUGUAUGAUAGUUUAAAUGAUGUUCGGAUUUCCGAAUUCUGUAGAAAAUGUGUUUGCUGAGGUGGAACCAAUUCUCAGAUCUGCACUUGAUGGCCACAAUGUGUGUAUUUUUGCUCACGGCCAAACCGGCACGGGCAAGACAUUUACCAUGGUUAGUGAUCGAAACUUCGAUCAAGCUUUUGUUGUUGCAUUUGUGUUCGGUUGUUAGGUGGAUUUUCGUUCCAAAUGUGCGUAAAAUGAUGAAGUUAAAUGGAUAUGCAGGAUGGAACUAGUGAGGAGCCGGGGAUAAUUCCUCGAGCUCUCAAGGAGCUUUUCUGUCAAGCCUCCUUGGACAGCUCGUCCUCUAUUUCCUUUUCGAUGAGCAUGUUGGAAGUUUACAUGGGCAGUCUCAGAGAUCUGCUGUCCCCAAAACCCACCAACAGAACAUACGAAACUGUAACAAGAUGGUAAGCAUCGGUUUGUUUAGUGCCCUGGUGCGACAAUUUCAGGCCAUUUGUUAGAUUGCUUACCUCAGUUUGGCUAACACUACUACAGCAAUCUCAACAUUCAAACAGAUCCGAAGGGGACGGUGGAAAUUGAGGGCCUUACAGAAGUCCAAAUUGUCGAUUUUGCUAAAGCUAGGUGGUGGUAUAAUCGGGGGAGACGAGUUAGAUCAACUUCUUGGACGAAUGUCAAUGAGGCGUCUAGCAGGUCUCACUGGUGGGUUCCAGGUCUACUUACAUUUUUUCAAAUUUUUCGUUGGAUUAUUUUGGUCGAUAAUUACGUUAUGUUUUUAGCUUCAUAUAUCUAGCUUAACAAGGAUAACCAUAUUUCGGAAUGGGGAUGCUCUGGAAGCUAAAAGGGAAGUGGGUAAACUGUGGAUGGUUGAUCUUGGAGGAAGCGAACGGUUGCUUAAAACGCGGGCAACUGGACUUACACUUGAUGAGGGAAGGGCCAUAAACCUUUCACUUUCCGCCUUGGGUGAUGUCAUUGCUGCUCUACGAAGGAAGCGAGGCCAUGUGCCUUACAGGUAAGUUAGUUGGCAUAAACUGUCAGCUUUAGUUGCCUUAUUCCCUUUUCCCUUUUCUUUUUCCCUUGGGCCUUCUGAGCUUUUCUCUUUGCUUACUGAUUGAGCAAGAAUCUGAUGCACUUCAACUUUUCGGUUGCAGGAACAGCAAGCUGACACAAAUCCUGAAAGACUCCUUAGGUAGAUCCACAUUCUUCAAAUUUUGUUAUGGAACUGAAGUUCUUUACACAUCAAAGGCUAUUCGAAGUUAUUUAAUUUGACAGUACAUAAACUUCUCACGUAAUACUAAUCGAGUUCUCAACAAUGGUAAUGACCCCAUGACAAAUCAUUACGUUUGUGCACUCAAUUGCCAUCGUGAGCUGGGUUCCAUGAUUUACGCACCCCCUUCAUCAUCUGGACUUGAAAGUGCUUAACAUUUGUUUUGUAAUCCGAUAUGCUUUAGGUCACGGUUCAAAGGUUUUGAUGCUUGUGCAUGUCAGCCCCUGUGAAGAAGAUGUUGGGGAGACGAUAUGCUCUUUGAGUUUCGCCAAGAGAGCUAGAGCUAUAGAGUGUAACAGGGAAUUAGCAGAGGUACCUCUCUCUAGUUUCUUUGUAAUUUUCGGGUUUCUCAGCUGUAUAUUUUCUGAACAUACUAUUUUUUCAGGACUUGAAGAGGCACAGGGAAAAAAGGGUGAAGGAACUCGAAGAAGACAUGAGAGAAGCUGAAGAAGAGUGCCGUAAAGUUAAAAAUCAGAUACAAAAGGUCGAUUUGCUGCUACGCGAAAAUAUAAACCUCUUUGCAGCCACGUAUGGACAUUUGAAAGAUGAGAAGGCCCCCAUUAGUCCCAAAGAAGUUUCGAGGGAAGUUAUAGAAACGCCUCGAAAGCUAGAGAAAGGAAGCAGAGGAAACAACAUUUCAAAUUCUUUGCCUCGGUUCAUGACUUCCACUGCAGCCAGUCGACAAAGGCAAAGCUCUGCAGAAAGAGAAACUGCCGCUAAAGCAAGAAGUUUGAGAUCCGUGGCCAGAAGUUCAAUCCAAUUUACAGCUUCACAGUCAAUGAGUUACUCAGACCCUCAAAUCAAAGCAAUUUUACAAAACUCGAGUAGGAAAUCGCGAUAUGCGCAGGAAGCAGCAGAUACUUUACCGGCAGAGAGCCCGAAGUGCAAUGGCUCGGAAUCAUCCAAGACACGAAGCAAGUUGGUCACUUCGUCCGAUCCAAACUUGAGACCUAUGCUUAGUCGUCAUAGAAGAAGGAUGUCUGAUCUAAUCUAACGGUCUGAGUGUGAAUAAGAUUAAGAUAAUGUGUUAUAUGUUAUAGCAGGAAUAAGAUGAGUGUUCGUGUUUUCGGGUUGUUUUCGGAUUGUUUUCAAGGUUCAUGUACUUGAUAGUUUGAGUUUGUUCCUGCAAGAGUUUUGCAGCUGAGUGUCGUGUGGGGUGGUUCAAAGUUUGAACUUCAAACUUCAACUGGGAUCUGUUAAUUAUUUGUUUACACGAUCCCUAGGUAGUAAAAUGAUCUGAUUAAGGUUGAUGAUUUAUGUUAAGUUAAAUUGUUAACAGAAUUUCGUAGCUUCUUUUGACAGAAAAAACGGUCAUUUAGUUAAAUCUCAAUCGUUCACCUGUGGAACAAAAAUGUGCAGAUGUCAAUUUUCGACCGGCUCGAUUUAUAGUGCUAGUAAGAACAUUGUUUCACUAAUGAAAGAGCGGUACAAAAUUGAGGCAAAAUUUGAAAAUCUCGUUGAUCUCAAAAUAGUAGGGUCAAGGUCGCUCAAUGAGACAAAUAAACUUUAUGCUUGAGAAAAAAAAACCCCAAAUCACUGGUUAAGGCCCUUUUAGAGUGAUAAAAAUGUAAGAAAAAUGACAUUAAAUCGUGAUUUGAACACAGUUUAUUACCUAUUUAAAAAGUCUCCUUAACCCUGUUUUAUUAAAAUUAUAAUUUGUGAAUUUUUGUAUCCACCGUUUAGGCUUGACAAACCAGUUGUGUUUGUUGUGUUUAUAUCAUUUUCACGAUAUACAUUUUAUUUUAACCGGUCGUGUUUCAGAUGAUUAACUUAUAACUCAAUAACAAUCCGAUUCUUUAAUAAAUUGACUCAAAACCUAUUAUUUUUGUUUCAUUUCCUGUCGAAUUAACGGCUCGUGUUACCUCUAUGUAACCACGCUCCAUGCGACACCGCAGGCAAUGACAUGUUCCUCCCAAAACGACAUCCUCCCUAACGACACAGGGCUCCUCUCUUGCGCUUCGUGAAACGGCGUCGCUUAAGGCCCGUUCCCAAAUCAAUUUUCCGCGAUCCCAAUCGUUCUGCCGACCUAAAAUUCAGAGUCUUGAAUGUAUGAAGACUUCAGCGUAAAAUCGAAUACACGCAUCCACACCACAUGGCUCUGUGGUCGUCACCGUCAAAUUCGUCGGCUAAGGGGAUAGUGAUAACGGUGCCGGCGCUGGUUCUGACGGCGUCAGUGGCCGCGGUUUUCUUCUUCUUUCUCUUGUACUCUCUCUCGUCGCCGUGCACUUGCGGCGGCCGCGACGCCGGUGGGGCUGCUAGUGCUAGUUUUGCGAGAGUCGGCGAUGUCGAUGGACCGAGUGUCGGCGUGGCGGAGGGCGGAGGAGGAGGAGGAGAGACGAUAUGGUCGUCGAAGGAGGAUGUGGAGUGGGUGAAGGAUCAGAUCCGAGUGAAUGGGUUGCAUAUGCAGGAUAACGUGUUGAGGAAGGGAAUUAACCCUCGCACCAGAGCUCAGCAGCUUCAAGAUCUCUUGGAGUCAGUAUUCUCUCUCUCUCUCUCUCUCUCUCUCUCUCUCUCUCUCUCUCUCUAGAAGUACCUCUUUAAUAUUAUGUGCACAUUUGUAUGAUUAGAAAUGGGGACUUGGAUUUGCACAGUGGGAUUGGGAAUUGGGAUUUCAAUUGAUUGUGAAUUAGUAAACUCUAUAAUCUUGGAUUCAAAGAUGUCAACUUUAAUUUUGAGUACCAGUUCAUGUGAUUUUUGUGCCGAGUGAGGAUGUGGGGGAGAUGAGAUUACAUCAGUAAACUUCGAUUUUCAUGAGAUCGCAGCAAUCGACUUUGAUUUGUUUUAGUUAUGUGGACGUGAACUCGAAUUUGUUGCUUAAGUUUCUGCAUUUUCUUUACAAUAUAUCUUUUCGAUGCUGAGUUUGGCAAGUACCUGUUGUGGCUCUGUUUGGUUUAUGUAAAGCACUGGGUUAGGUUGGAGAGAAACGAAAAGGUUAAGCUUGAUGAUCGGCUAGAUUUAUAGAACAUGGAUUUAGACUAGAUCAUAUACUUUGAAGUGAUUUGUUCUAUUCCUUUUGUUCCGGUAGAUGCUUCUUUGUAUUAUAUUUGUUGCUCGAUGAUUCUUUAACUGGAGUAUUCUCUUACUUGGUUGGUUGGUUAGAUGAUUUCUCUUUCUCUCCGCGUGCUUUUCUCUGCCUGCAGUUUUCAUAUAUUCAAAUGUUUGCGGGUCAAUUGAAUCGCUGGCAAGUUAUUCAUUUCAUGUUCUGUGAAUAUAGGGAUGAUUUUGUACAAAUAGUUGACCAAUAGUUUCUGAAUUUUCAGGUUCAAGGGUAUAUCUCAUUAUGAAGGACCUGAUUCAGAAAAGCAUACUGCUCUCCCAUGCCCUGGUGAGCUCCUAACUGAGGAGCACCACAGUAACUACGGUGAGCCUUGGGCAGGCGGGCGAGAUGUUUUUGAGUUCCUCGCUCAGUCCUCUCAUCUGAAGCCCGACUCAAUUGUCCUUGAGAUUGGCUGUGGUACCCUCCGAGUCGGUUUGCAUUUCAUUCGCUAUCUUAAUCCUGGACACUUCCACUGUCUUGAAAGAGAUGAGCUCUCACUAAUGGCUGCCUUUAGAUACGAGCUUCCUUCCCAAGGUCUUCUGCACAAGCGCCCUUUGAUUGUGAAAGGCGACAACAUGGACUUCGGCGGAUUUGGUUCAGAUGUUGUUUAUGACUUGAUCUAUGCUAGUGCUGUGUUUCUUCAUAUGCCUGAUAAGCUUGUGUGGGUUGGAUUGGAGAGAUUGACAAAUAAACUGAAACCCUAUGACGGGCGAAUCUUCGUGUCCCAUAAUAUCAAAUUCUGUUCGCGGUUGGGAGGAGACGAAUGUACAAAGCGGCUUACAAAUUUAGGCCUGGAGUAUGUCGGAAAGCAUACACACGACAGCUUGCUAUUCAACCACUACGAAAUCUGGUUCGAGUUUAGGAGGACGAAGGCUUAAAGUUGCAGAAUUUAUUCUUUUUUUCCCUGCCUUUCGUCCUAAUUUAGAUACGGGAUGUGAGCGGCUGAUCGAUUGUGCAGCAGGCUGCUUUGUAUUUUUGCAUAGGAAAUGUGUAACUUGUAAGAUUUUGAUAACACUUCUUUGAAUUCAUAUAAGCCAUUCAUUCUUUCUGCAGCAGUUGCUUAAUAAGUUGCAUCAUUCCAGCGCAACUUAAAUUUUCUCUUGCAAUUUCGUAGUCACGAUAAUGACUUACCUACGCCCAUAGAAGAAAAUAUCGAUAAUCGUUUUUUUCAUAUAACGAUAUUUCGUGGGUAUUCAUUUAAUUAUCGCUAUAAUAUCGAUAAUAUCGCGAGAUGAACCUAAAAAUAUUUGAAAAUUUCUGAAAAGUCUCAAACAUGCACAUAAAGGGAUUCGAACCCCUCCCAUCUAACUCCUUCAGCGCCUUGACCACUAUACCACUUAUGUUUUUGUGAAAACAUGCUAAAAUAUUUAUAUAUAUGGUUUUGUUUUGAAUUCUUUUUGCAAGAAACAAAUUUGCACAUAUUCCAAAUUUUUUGUGGUAUUAUAUUUUAAAUUGUGUCAAUUAAUUACUUAGUCAAUGGCAUGUGGUUUUUAAUUUUUCUAUUUUUUAUUUGGUCACUUACAUGUAUGGUUGGAAAAAAUUCCCGAAAAUCCCAAACCAAACUGAAAAAGUCCCAAACCAAAACCAUCCCGAAGUUUGGGAAUCCCAUCCCGAAAAAUACCGAAAUUUUCGAUAUGGGAUUGGUUUCCAAAUCCCAUUUGUUUGGUAAUCCCGAAAUCCCGAAAAAUACCGAAGUAUUCGGUUUCCUAUUGACUUUUGGGUUUUGGUUCUUGAAAGCCAUUGCCAUGGUUGCUGACUACUCUUCACAAUACACUUACUCUACACAUAGAGAUGAUGAAGAUAGUGAAAAUUUUGAACCUCAUAGGAACUCUAUGUGGUACUUAGUCACUCAUGUAUCUUACCAUGCAAUGUAUAAAGUGUAAAAUAUUGUACUAAUUCAUUAUAUAUAAAUGAUUAUGGUGUGUUUAAACUUCUUUCAUUAAUUACUACAUAUUUUCUACACUCACAAUGUUUGCUAGCUCGCUAUAUAAUCAACUUAAAUCAGUUAAAUCCAUCAUGCAAUGCAUUUUCUUCCAAUUUUUUGUGAUAAACUAAUAGAUAAUUGACUAAAUAAACAUCCUACAAAGUUUCAAUAAAAAUUUCCAAGUUUCUUACAAUUUCCGUGGUUUCCAUGUAAUUUUUAUCGAUAUCGAUAUUAUCUCGAUAUUUCCAUCGAUAUUUCCGUGUUUUCAAACUACCGAUAUUUCCGAUAUUACCGAUAUUUUCUUUCUUACCUACGCCCACUAUGCCAUUGUAUCCACGAUAUUUCAACCUAAUAGGUACUUUUCGUCUAAUAAGUUGCAAAUUGCAAAUAACUUACCUACACCCGCUGUAUGCCGCCUAAUAGGUACGUUUCUUCUAAUGAGUUGCAAAUUGCAAAUAACUACCGAUAUCCACCAUGCCAUUGUAGCGAUUCUUAGGCCUGGUUUGGUAAUGUGAUGAUUCUGAAAAAAAAUGGGUAUAAAAAAAAGCUGGGAGUUUUUUUGUGUUUGGUAAACAUUCAGCUUCAGCUUUUUUUCACAGUUUUGGGUGAAAAAAAAGUCAAAAACACAAAGCUGCAAAACCAAGCUUUGAAAAACCGAUUUUUUUUCACAUCUGUUUUACAUAAAAGUUUACCAAAUAAUAUAAUAUUGUUUUUUUUUUCAAAAUCACUUUUACAAAAAAGUUUACCAAACACUCUGCUGCUUUAUUUCACAGCUACUUAUUCUCACAGUACAACAAAAAUAGUUUUUUUUCAAAACAUAACAAUACCAAACCAGCCAUUAACCUAGUCAUGCUCGGUUGUCACGAAACUUAAACCAGGUAGGUACGUUUCUUCUAAUAAGUUGCAAAUUGCAAAUAUUUACUUUUUCGGAGGCUAACUAGAACAUAGAAAGUAUUAACGACGUCGUUCAAGGAAGAGGGUUUUGCAUUUCCUUCAACCCGUCUCUCUGUUCCCAAAACCCCGAAUCUGCAGACUAAAACCCUAAAUCGUCAUCAAAGAGAAAUAGAGACCAAAAAGAGCCAACAUUUUCGAGAAUGCAUCGCUCUUCGCGAAUCAUAAGCACCACAUUCUGCAACAAAAACUCGAAGUUCCCGUCAUCUUUCUUCGGCUACCGUUACGGUGACCGCAACCUCGCUCCGUCGUUUCACCGCCCGAUCUCCUCCACGACGCACCUGGAUAACUCAUGGAUGAACAAGAUCAAAGGGGUCUUCACCGGCAACAAGGCCUCUCCGGAGGAUGCAAAGUCCAGCUCCGAUUCGUUCACGCUGCUUCGUACGUCCCUUAAUUUCAACUUUGUUUUUCACAUUUUCUAUUUUUUGUUUCCUGAUUAGGUAUCUCUGAGAUUUGAAUAUUUUGUUUUCGAGUUUUUGUGCUUGAAGUUUCGAGCUUUUUGUAAAACCUAUAUGAUAUUUUGAAGAAAAAUGUAGAAUUUUCGAGCUUUUUGGAAACCCAUUUGAUAUUUUGAAAAAAUGUAAAUUUUUCGUGCUUUUGGUUCCAGGGGUUUGUUUAACUCAGUUAAAUUUUGUUUAAAUUUGAGAGAUUGGUUGGAAAUUCAUGGUUACGUUAACGAUAAUUAUUUGUUUGUUUCUUGGGUUGAUUAUAGGAUUUGCGGAUGAGAUGAAGAAUGCUAGAAGAAUUGGGGCGUUCAAGCAAUACAUUGUGGGGAGAAGCAGUGAAGCUACUUUUGCCGAUGCUUUCGAGAAGCAGGAAGCGAUUAUUCGCUAUCUCGGAGGAUUUGAUUCCACUGGAGAGGUUGGUUUUACCCUUUUAAAUUGAUGUUUUACUUGUUAUUUUUUUGCCAGAUGAAAUCUCUGUUUGGUCCAUUUGGCAAUGUGUAUACUUGUGUGCUUAUGCUUGUAAAGUUCAAGUCUCGUAAAAUAAGUCUUGUAAUAGUCCAAUUAGCUACAACACUAUUUCCUAUGUUCUUAAGAAAAAGUGCCAUUUCACACAAAAUCUAGGUUUGCCUCUGGUUUUUGUGAGAAUCUGGAUAUCUCUCAGAUAAACUAUUCCAUCCUACAUAGUUUUAAUGCCAAUAUUUGUGACUUGAAUACGAGAUUGUUUGCCUAUCUUUUUAAUUCCGCUUUCCUUUUCCAUAUUCUUUGCCAAUUUCUCUCGCUCUUUCUUUUAUGGAAUUGCUUUAAACUCGAGUUCUUUUUCCUCCUUAAACUGCCAAUAUAAUCACUACAGAGAAAUGAGCUAUUAAGCUGAAGGAAACUUCAUUAUUCACAGGAUGCAGUCCAAAGUAUUUAUUUAUUGGAAUUUCAAAAUGAUUCAUACUAGGUUUAUGUGCGUAGAUUGUGUCUGGUUAAGUCUCUUGAUUAUAGUUUUAGGUCUUUUGUUUUGUAGAAUCUCCAAGUUGCUCAAAAACAAGAAGCAGCGAAGCAUUGUAAAUGCACGAUUGCUGAUGUUGAGAAUGCUCUUGCAAAAUUCACGUGGGCUAGAGAAGCACAAAAGAAGAUGGAGAAUUUAAAGAAAGAAGGGAAACCAAUGCCAAGGAACAUUAACGAGGUAUUAUUUCUCAUUUUUCAACCUUCGUAAAACUGAUUUACCCUGUGCUGAAAUUAGUACUUAACUUCAGAAUGUCUUAUAUAGCUUUUGCUAUCUAUGUCUUUGCUUGUUUUCUUAUCUUUGGGAAGGCUUUAUAGUACAGUGGCAUCCUUUUGGUUGGCUAAGCACCUAAACUUCUUGUUAAGGCCAGAUUUUAUCUGCCCGCUUAUUGGCAUGUUUCAAUAGCCGCGUUGAAUUGUGUGUGAUUGCUUCCUUCAAGAUGAAUUAAUAAGUUAGUGGAGGCAUGCGAGUUGCUUCCAUUGGAUGUACUGAAUUUGUAUUAUUUAUGUGGGUGUGUAUGUGUUGUAGGCACUGAUGAGGAAAAUGAGAGGGGUUUGGUGAUUAAGGGGGAAGUUUAAAUCAUAUUGGUUAUGGAGGCCUUGGUUUGUUUAGCUACACUUUUUUCCUGUAACAUCCACACAACACAAAAUUCUGAUAACGAUUUACGACUGUAGGAAACAUUGCUAACUCUAAAUUUCGGCUCCUCAGGUGCAAAAAUUGAUGGGUUCAACGCCAUUGGACCUUGCCAAGUCUAAUUUGGCUAAGAGUGGGCAAAUCAGUAGGAAUGCGCUCUGUCCAUGUGGCUCCAAGAAGAGAUACAAACGGUAUACUUAUCGCCCUGCAUUCUUUUAUCAAGAUUUGGGCAGUUACUUUUUAUUUCUCAGAAAUGAUAAUCUUACUUGUUUGAUUCAUAUGCAUAGGUUUUAAGAUUGAUAAGUUUAUGCGUCUCUGUAUUAUUUCUUAUGAAGGUGUUGCGGCAAGGAUUGAUACGUUCCAAGGAUAAAAGAGCAAGGAAAGUCUUUGCUUCCGUCAUGAGUAUGGAGAGAUGCCAAGAGCUCGAAGAAUCGAUUUUGCAGUUUUGGAGCCUUUGAUUAAUUUUGGUUAGGGUUUAGCCUUCUUGAUGUUCCUUUUCUGCUUGAUCAGACCAGAUCGUCUCGACAUUUGUUUAUACAAAUAAUAAAUUGUAGUGAAAUAACGGAGGCAGAAGAAAUUUGAUUAGAAAAUGAGUGAAAGUGUAAUUUUUUCAACUCUGGGACACUUGCCAUUGUCAGUAGCUCGACUUUGUUAUAUUAUUCAAGACUUUUCAGUACACUGGUCAUUUUAUUUGGUUUGUUCUUCGAUUCUCCAUGACGUUGAGAGUACAAUUGUGUUUUUCAUUUGACUAGUUGAUAAUGAUAUUCUAAACUAAUCUAAUUUACGAAGAGGAUUUGAACUAGAAUGCAAGUGACCGGAGCACCCACAUUACCACCUCAAUCUCACCGGCAUCAUUGUCGGUGAAGACGUGGUUCAGGGAGUCGAUCCAGAGGUGUUUGAAGAACUCCAGCCGUACUCCUGCAAGCAGGUGGAGGUGGGGGAAGAAGGUGGCGGUCGAACACCAAGCUUUAUGGGCUUGUUGGACCAAUCAGGUUGUAGGUUACCUAUUUCAGGCUAUUUAUAGAGAACUAAGUACUUAACAUUAGCGUUUGGGUUCAUUGAGCUUGUUAGCAGAGUGUUACAUAGUUUGCAGACCGACAGAAGAAUAUUCCUUUAAGAUUCAUGGAUUGUGCUUCGGAGAAUCUUGAUGUGCUAAGAGUUUGAUAGGCAAGCCCAUUACUAUCAAGGUAAUUUGUGCAGAUCGCGUAACUAUUAACUUUGAUCGUUUACUCGUGAAGGUUUGACUAAUGAUUUUGGACUUUUAGGACCUUCUUAGAGAAUGUAGCCCGUUAGCUCGUGAGGGUUUGACUAAUGGUAUACAUAUUUCAUACAGUAUUUUAUGUUUCCACAAUGUUGGAUUUGAGAGGACGCUCAAACCCUAUAAGAUAAUAACGAAGAGAAUAUUGAUGGAAACUACAUACCAAAAAACUGAUAGAAACCAAAGAAAAUAAAUAAUUUCAAAACUGAAUUGAUGAAGGGGCCGCGCGAACGCAGGCCCCCACAGCAACAAAUUAUGACGCUGGCUCUCCUACGUUGAGGAGACCAUAGGCAAGCACCCCUCCUAAGUGCAAUGGAGGUCACCAGCCUAGGACAUGAGCCUUCUUGAUCGCCCAUCGACCCCGUCCAGGUAAGUAUGUUGCCAUGUGCAUCUCGUUCCUCUUUUAUACGUCGGUCUCGUCUCUCCACCGCUGCGUUGCUCGAUGUGGUACUGUUUGAUGUCUCAGACCAAAUACAACGCAUUUUAGCAUUAGAGUUUGUUCUCACUUGAUAAGAACCAAAUAAACUCAAAUUAAUAAAAUAAAAUAAUUUAUUGGAAGAUUUUGCCAAAGCUAUUAUAUUGCCUGGUAGUAAUAAAGUAAAUAAUUCCCAUUCACCAAAAAUCAACUAGUAAUUAAACUAGUGCUGUGUGUCGGAAGCCGGCGGACUAGAGAUCUGGACCACUCACUGUAAAUUCUACAAACAACAUUAACUCAUCUCAUUGAUCCACCUGACACAAAUCAAAAGUUUGAAUCUCUUUAUCUCUCUUGAAUGGCCCAAAUCUCUAUCCACUAGCUCAGGACCUCUGAUUCUGAAUUUUGAUUCCCCGUAAAGUUGAAUGUCACGUCAAAGUGCUGUUAAAUUAUGCAUGAUAUUGCUAUCAAUCGUAGUUGGUUUAUUAGGAGAUUAAGACUUUGUAGCAACUUUGGUUAAAAAAAUUGGUAAGGCCACCAUAUUCAAACCCAAUUUCAAAGUCUUUCAUGAUCUUUAAUAAUAUUUGUAAUUUUUGUACGUAUAAAUUCAAUCCAAUACAUCAUCAUUGACAUCAUAGCAUAGUUGUUUGUUAUUUAACUUUAUCAUACAUUUUUAAAUAUUGUUGCUCAUAAUAUCUAGUGUUUAUUAUUCCUAUCACCUCUAUAACUUGUUAUGCAGACCGAUAUGUCCAGAAUCGCUCUCCGUCCGUUCAGGCUAUCUGACGCCGACGAUGUCUUGUCAUCGGAGGUGAUGAUCAGGUGACUCGAGUCCUCCGCGGAUUCAAGACGUUGACAACGAAAGACGAGGCUUUGAAUUUCAUCGAGAACGUUUGCAUUCCCCACCCAUGGCGCCCGUCGAUAUGCAUCGAUGACCGUUCGAUUGGUAUCGUCAGGUGAUGAUCGGCAUAAGGCAGAUAUGGGGUAUGCUUUAGCUGCAAGGUGUUGGGGCCAAGGGAUAACAACAAAGGCAGUUAAGAUUGCACUCUCUCAAGUUUUCAAGGACUACCCUGAUUUGGUUAGGUUGCAGUCUUUUGUAGCUGUAGAGAAUAAGGCCUCUCAGAGAGUUUUGGAGAAAGUAGGGUUUCAGCGGGAGGGUGUGCUGAGAAAGUAUCUCUAUCUUAAGGGAGAUAUAAAGGACAUGGUUGUUUAUAGUUUUUUGUCAAGUGAUUUCACUAAUGAUCUCUCAAGUAAUGAAUUAAGUAGGGACGAAAGCCGGCCUUAGUGAUCCGACGGUGCCGAGUGGAAGGGGCGUUGCUGAACGGAUAAAAGUAUACUAGGGAUAAUUAAGUUGAUCUUCCCCAAGAGGUCCUAGACUUCUUUACUAAUCAAAUAAUUUGCAAUUUUCUUACGUAACAUGAUGUUAUUGGCGUCUUUAAAUUCGUUUUAAACUUGCAGUAUAUUUCUGAAUUUUUCUUAUUUUGUUAUUCUUAUUUGAUCGUCUUAAUGUUUUGUUUAUACAGUAAAUUGUAAUGAAAUUGAGAAGAGGUUGAAGAAGUUUGAUUAGGAAAUGCAUGAAUCUGCAAUUUUACAAUAUUUCUCUUUCGUAUUUGGGUGGCAUGACACUAGUAGCUAGGUUAACUUAAUUCCCAUGACAUAAUGACCAUAAUACUGAUUCUGUAGGAAGCACUUUUGUUAGAAGUACUUCUAUAGAAAAAUAUUAAUUUUUUUAUUAAAACUCUAAUUAAUUUGAUGUUGAGCCACCAACUAUUUUUUGGGCUUGUUAGACCAAUUAGGUUAUAAGUUACCUACGACGGGCUAUUUAUAGAGAACUAAGGAGUUAACAUUAGCAUUCGGGUGCAUUGAACUUGUUAGCAGAGUGUUACCUAGUCUGCAGACCAACGGAGGAAUAUUCCUUUAAGUUUCAUGGAUUGUGCUUCAGAGAAUCUUGCUGAGCUAAAAGUUUGAUAGGCAAGCCCAUUACUAUCCAGGUAAUUUGUGCAGGUCGCAUGACCAUUGACUUGGACCGUUUGCAAUUAAUUGAGCCUGAGGGCCUAUUGAUUCUAGGCUUUUAGGGCCUUCGUAGAGAAUGUGACUUGUUAACUCAUGACAGUUUGCAUAUUUCAUACAGUAGUCAUAUUUAAUAAGUUGUACAUGUGACGUGUUUCUAUUAGUCGAGAUAUUUAAUGUUUCCACACUGAUGACUUUCCAUUGGAUUUGAGAGGACGCUCAAACCCUAUAAGAUGACGAACAGAAUAUUGAUGGAAACCAUAACAUACCGAAACAGUUAGAUACCAAGGCAUAUAGAUAUUUUAAAAACUGAAUUGAUGAAGGAGCCGCGCGAACGCAGGCCCCCACAGCAACAAAUUAUGACGUUGGCUCUCCUACGUUGAGGAGACCAUAAGCAAGCACCCCUCCUAAGUGCAAUGGAGGUCACCAGCCUAGGCCAUGAGCCUUCUUGAUCGCCCAUUGACCCCGUCCAGGUAAGUAUGUUGCCAUAUGCCUCCCAAUCCUAUUUUAUACGCCGGUCUCGUCUCUCCACCUCUGCUUUGCUCGAUGCGGGACUGUUUGAUGUCUCAAACCAAAUGCCAAAACUCUUCCUUGCUUUGAUUUCUCAGACCAAAUACAACGCAUUUUAGCAUUAGAGUUUGUUCUCACUUGAUAAGAACCAAAUAAACUCAAAUUAAUAAAACUGAAUAAUUCAUUGGAAGAUUUAGCCACAAACACCAAAUGAUAAACAACUAGCUAUUAUAUUGCCUGGUAGUAUUAAAGUUAAUAAUUCCCAUUCACCAAAAAUCAACUAGUAAUUAAACUAGUGCUCUGUGUCGGAAGCCAGUGGACUAGAGAUCCGGACCACUCACUCUAAAUUCUACAAACACCAUUAACUCAUCUCAUUGGUCCACCUAACACAAAUCAACAAUUUGAAUCUCUUUAUCUCCUUUGAAUGGCCCGAAUCUCUAUCCACUAGCUCAUGAUCUCUGACUCUGAAUCUCGAUUCUUCAUAAAGUUGAAUGUCACGUCAAAGUGCUGUUAAAUUAUGCCCGAAAUUGCUAUCAAUCGUAGUUGGUUUAUUAGGAGAUUAAGACUUUGUAGCAACUUUGGUUAAAAAAAUUGGUAAGGCCACUAUAUUCUACAAACCCAAUUCAAAGUCUUUCAUGGUCAUUAAUAAUAUUUGUAAUUUUGUACGUAUAACUUCAAUCCAAUACAUCAUCAUUGACAUCAUAGCAUAGUUGUUUGUUAUUUAACUUUAUCAUACAUUUUUAAAUAUUAUUGCUCAUAAUAUCUAGUGUUUUCUCAUUCCUAUCACCUCUAUAACUUGUUAUGCAGACCGAUCUGUCCAGAAUCGCUCUCCGUCCGUUCAGGCUAUCUGACGCCGACGAUGUCUUGUCAUUCGGAGGUGAUGAUCAAGUGACUCGAGUCCUCCGCGGAUUCAAGACGUUGACAACGAAAGACGAGGCUUUGAAUUUCAUCGAGAACGUUUGCUUUCCCCACCCAUGGCGCCGGUCGAUAUUCAUCGAUGACCGUUCGAUUGGUGUCGUCAGGUAAUGAUCGGCAUAAGGCAGAUAUGGGGUAUGCUUUAGCUGCUAGGUGUUGGGGCCAAGGGAUAACAACAAAGGCAGUUAAGAUUGCACUCUCUCAAGUUUUCAAGGACUACCCUGAUUUGGUUAGGUUGCAGUCUUUUGUAGCUGUGGAGAAUAAGGCCUCUCAGAGAAUUUUGGAGAAGGUAGUGUUUCAGCGGGAGGGUGUGCUGAGAAAGUAUCUCUAUCUUAAGGGAGAUAUAAAGGACAUGGUUGUUUAUAGUUUUUUGUCAAGUGAUUUCACUAAUGAUCUCUCAAGUAAUGAAUUAAGUAGGGACGAAAGUCGGCCUUAGUGAUCCGACGGUGCCGAGUGGAAGGGGCGUUGCUGAACGGAUAAAAGUAUAUUAGGGAUAAUUAAGUUGAUCUUCCCCAAGAGGUCCUAGACUUCUUUACUAAUUAAAUAAUUUGCAAUUUUCUUACGUAACAUAGUGUUAUUGGCGUCUUUAAAUUCGUUUUAAACUUGUAGUAUAUUUCUGAAUUUUUCUUAUUUUGUUAUUCUUAUUUGAUCGUCUUAAUGUUUUGUUUAUACAGUAAAUUGUAAUGAAAUUGAGAAGAGGUUGAAGAAGUUUGAUUAGGAAAUGCAUGAAUCUGCAAUUUUACAAUAUUUCUCUUUCGUAUUUGGGUGGCAUGACACUAGUAGCUAGGUUAACUUAAUUCCCAUGACAUAAUGACCAUAAUACUGAUUCUUUAGGAAGCACUUUUGUUAGAAGUACUUCUAUAGAAAAAUAUUAAAUUUUUUAUUAAAACUCUAAUUAAUUUGAUGUUGAGACACCAACUGUUUUUUGGGCUUGUUAGACCAAUCAGGUUAUAGGUUACUUACUACGGGCUAUUCAUAGAACUAAGGAGUUAACAUUAGCAUUCGGGUUCGUUGAACUUGUUAGCAAAGUGUUACCUAGUCUGCAGACCAGCGGAGGAAUAUUCCUUUAAGUUUCAUGGAUUGUGCUUCAGAGAAUCUUGCUAUGCUAAAAGUUUGAUAGGCAAGCCCAUUACUAUCCAGGUAAUUUGUGCAGGUCGCGUGACCAUUGACUUGGACCGUUUGCAAUUAAUUGAGCCUGAGGGCCUAUUGAUUCUAGGCUUUUAGGGCCUUCGUAGAGAAUGUGGCUCGUUAGCUCGUGACAGUUGUCAUAUUUAAUAAGUUGUACACGUGAGACGUGUUUCUAUUAGUCGAAAUAUUUAAUGUUUCCACAAUGAUGAUUUUCCAUUGGAUUUGAGAGGACGCUCAAGCCCUAUAGGAUGACGAACAGAAUAUUGAUGGAAACCAUAACAUACCGAAACAGUUAGAUACCAAGGCAGAUAGAUAUUUUCAGAACUGAAUUGAUGAAGGGGCCGCGCGAACGCAGGCCCCCACGGCAACAAAUUAUGACGUUGGCUCUCCUACGUUGAGGAGACCAUAAGCAGGCACCCCUCCUAAGUGCAAUGGAGGUCACCAGCCUAGGCCAUGAGCCUUCUUGAUCGCCCAUUGACCCCGUCCAGGUAAGUAUGUUGCCAUAUGCCUCCCAAUCCUAUUUUAUACGCCGGUCUCGUCUCUCCACCUCUGCUUUGCUCGAUGCGGGACUGUUUGAUGUCUCAAACCAAAUGCCAAAACUCUUCCUUGCUUUGAUUUCUCAGACCAAAUACAACGCAUUUUAGCAUUAGAGUUUGUUCUCACUUGAUAAGAACCAAAUAAACUCAAAUUAAUAAAACUGAAUAAUUCAUUGGAAGAUUUUGCCACAAACACCAAAUGAUAAACAACUAGCUAUUAUAUUGCCUGGUAGUAAUAAAGUAAAUAAUCCCCAUUCACCAAAAUUCAACUAGUGAUUAAACUAGUGCUCUGUGUCGGGAGUCAACGGACCAGAGAUCCGGACCACUCAUUCUAAAUUUUACGGACACCAUUAACUCAUCUCAAUGGUCCACCUGACACAAACCAACAGUUGGGAUCUCUACAAACCAACAGUUGGGCCUUCGUAAAGUUGAAUGUCACAUCAAAAUGCUGUUAAAUUAUGCCCGAAAUUGCUAUCAAUCCUAGUUGGUUAUCAUCAAACAAGAAUAGCUGAUAAAUUAAUUUAUUAGGAGAUUAAGACUUUGUAGCAACUUUGGUUAAAAAAUUUGGUAAGGCCACUAUAUUCUACAAACCCAAUUUCAAAGUCUUUCAUGAUCUUUAAUAAUAUUUGUAAUUUUUGUACGUAAAAAUUCAAUCCAAUACAUCAUCAUUGACAUCAUAGCAUAGUUGUUUGUUAUUUAACUUUGACAUACAUUAUUGUUGCUCGUAAUAUCUAGUGUUUUCUCAUUUCUAUCACCUCUAUAACUUGUUAUGCAGACCGAUCUCUCCAGAAUCGCUCUCCGUCCGUUCAGGCUAUCUGACGCCGACGAUGUCUUGUCAUUCGGAGGUGAUGAUCAGGUGACUCGAGUCCUCCGCGGAUUCAAGACGUUGACAACCGAAGACGAGGCUUUGAAUUUCAUCAAGAACGUUUGCAUUCCCCAUCCAUGGCGGCGGUCGAUAUGCAUCGAUGACCGUUCGAUUGGUUUCGUGACUAUGUUUCCGGGAUCAGGUGAUGAUCGGCAUAAGGCAGAUAUGGGGUAUGCUUUAGCUGCAAGGUAUUGGGGCCAAGGGAUAACAGCAAAGGCAGUUAGGAUUGCACUCUCUCAAGUUUUCAAGGACUACCCUGAUUUGGUUAGGUUGCAGUCUUUUGUAGCUGUAGAGAAUAAGGUCUCUCAGAGAGUUUUGGAGAAAGUAGGGUUUCAGCGGGAGGGUGUGCUGAGAAAGUAUCUCUAUCUUAAGGGAGAUAUAAAGGACAUGGUUGUUUAUAGUUUUUUGUCAAGUGAUUUGACUAAUGAUCUCUCAAGUAAUGAAUUAAUUACCCACCCAUCGAGUAGGGACGAAAGUCGACCUUAGUGAUCCAACGGUGCCGAGUGGAAGGGGAGUUGCUGAAUGGAUAAAAGUACACUAGGGAUAACAAGUUGAUGUUCCCCAAGAGUUCAUGGACUUCUUUACUAACCAAAUAAUUUGCAAUUUUCUUACGUAACAUGAUGUUAUUGGCGUCUCUAAAUUCGUUUUAAACUUGCAGUAUAUUUCCAAAUUUUUCUUAUUUUGUUAUUCUUAUUUGAUCGUCUUAAUGUUUUGUUUAUACAGUAAAUUGUAAUGAAAUUGAGCGAGGUUGAAGAAGUUUGAUUAGGAAAUGCAUGAAUCUGCAAUUUUACAAUAUUUCUCUUUCGUAUUAGGGUGGCAUGACAGUAGUAGCUAGGUUAACUUAAUUCCCAUGACAUAAUGACCAUAAUACUGAUUCUGUAGGAAGCACCUUUGUUAGAAGUACUUCUAUAGAAAAAUAUUUAAAAAAAAUUUAUAACUCUAAUUAAUUUGAUGUUGAGACACCAACUGCUUCAGUUGCUGGAGUUCUUGAUUCCGCUCUUCAAAUUCUUUCAGACGUCAAUGCUGGAUAGCCACAGCCCAUUUCACGAUGGUAUUCUCCCUUACCAAUCCGUCAGUUUGUUGUUUUAGCACUGUCUUUUGCUUUUAAAAACUAAGGGCUGCAACCUCAGCACCAGCACGAGCUCGUGCACUGAUGGAUUUAUCGAAAUCCUCUAAAUUUUAGCAGCACAGGCCCUAGCAUCAUCCACACUAUUUGCGUUACGCCGGACUCGGAGAUCACAAUAUCAAAGCAUGAAUUUGUUUCCCUAGACCUUGUGAGCAAGCAACUCAAAAAACUGCCUCGGAUUUCUGAAUCACCUGCGUUGAUUCUUAAAAAAGCGAGCCUUUUUUACUGGACAACGCCGUGGCAGGUUCUUAUUAUCCUUGAUAAUAAAAAAAAGACCUCUCACAUGCUCGUGAGCGCGUGCAGAGCGGCUAGUACUAAGAAAAGAACGACUGUACUGCAAUAACAGACUUUGACCGAAAUGUAUCCGGUGCCUAAAGUGCUGGCGUAUUUAAUUCACUUGUUAAUUAGUUAAUUAAGCCUAGUUUGGCUACUCUUUCUUGUAUGUGUUCCUCCUUCGUCCCAGUAAUUUAGAUUAGUUUAACAUAAAACAUCCCUUGUAUCAACAAGAAAAAGAAUUAUCAUCUCAAACGUAAUUUUAAAAUUUAAAUUAAUUCUGUCUUGGUCAAAGUAAUGAAUGGAUGAUUAAUUAUUUUUCAAUGUCCCUUUAUCACAAGAUAUCUUAAUUUUGAUGCAGUCUCUCUUCUCCAAUCAACUUUGGAUCUCACCAGCUAAUGCUGUUUAAUUAAGAUAAGAUAAUAAGUUAUUAAUUUAUUAAGACAGACUUCGUAGCAAAAAUGAUCUUAAACAAGAUUAUCUCCGGCCAUUCAGGCUAUCCGAUGCCGAUGAUCUCAAGUGACGCGAUGCCUCCGAUAGAAGACGUCGACAACCAAAAGACGAAGCCUUGACUUUCAUCAAGGAUGUUUGCAUGUAUGCUUUACAAACCUUGACAAAUAAUUUGUAUGCAUGUUGUGCGAAAUGUAAACUAGCAACUAGUUGUGUCGUAUGUUAAUCACGCACUUUUAUGUAAAAAAAAAAAAUUAAGGGAACUUUAACGAAAAACUUUUGGUACUGUUCAUUUUAACGAAAAAUCACAUUUUUACACUAAAAAGUCAAUUAUGAUACUAUUCACUUUACCCUUUAUUUUGUCUUUAUCGUUAAAACUCAAAACUUUCAAACCCUUUUCAUUAGUUUUCAAAAAAAAUUUAAUUGAUAUGUCAAUAAAGAUAAGUCAUAAGUUACAGCAGUGUUUACUGGCUUGAGAAGAUAACAUCGGUAUGGCAUCCCAACCGCAUGGAAGUGCCUCUCUCCCAAGGGGUUGGGUCAUUGAAGCUAGACCUAGAACAAAAUGAUAAACCCAAUCUAAAUCCGUACUAGGUCUUCCACAAUAGGCCGGGAAAAGUAAGUGUGAUAUCAAUACAUUAAAUUUAUAUAUGAAUCGCCCGUCUACAGUGGGCCGGAAAUUUUUAGUGAGAUACCAAUUUACUGAGCUCAUGAGUUCAAUAUAUCAAACUCAUGAGGGACGGUACCAAUAUAUUGAACUCACAAGUAGCAAUAGUGUUAUAGAAAUCAAACUCAGAAUGCCUGAUUCUAAUAUCUAGAUAUCACAUUUACAUGAACCACCGUGAAAGGCUAAGAUUAAGCAACUUCCAUCGGACAAAUUCUCGAGUGUAACCUGAUCUCUCUUUAUAUGUAUUGUAUGGCAAAUUCUUAGGUAUCCACGUGACGAGCGAGAGAGAGAUAUAUGAGUUAGAUGGAGAUUAAAAAGAGAGAUAUUAUAACACAACUUUCGUUUUAAUUUAAAUUCUUGGCAACCACAAUUUUCUGCCUUUUCUUAGCGGAGCUGCGGAGGUAUGAACACAAACUACGCAGCUCCGCUAUGAACGCACAAACUACACAUCCAGUUUAUCUUUUUCUUUGAGGACUAACUACUAUGAACACUGUACAAAAAGGACCCCCCACUGCAAUGCAAUCAAUACUGUUGUGCAAUUUCUUCUUCCUACAUUCUCACUCUUUUCUUUUCAAUCUAUCGUUUGAGAGUUCGCAACUUGGUAUCCUAAUCUAUCUCGAAAGUAAAGAAGCGAAACGUCUCUGUAUUCACAGUUGAGAGAAUGAGGCGUUUAAGGCGUAGAAUUUACUGAGAUUUCUUGCCGGAGAUGUGAGCUCGGGUCGUCCAGAUUCGACGGAAUGACAAGUCGCUGCAAGGGCUUGAGAGCUACCGUGAGCUGUGAGAACGAGGGGCGCAAGUUCGGAUCGCUAAUCACGCAAAAAGGUACCAUCAAUUAAACCGAAUCCAACAAGUAAAAUAAUGAUAUUCAACGAAAUAUGCAAGGCAUUCAGAAUUUUGUGCAACUUACGUCUGCCAACAUUCCCAAAUUAUCCUUGCAACAAGGGGAUCAAGUUCCUUGGGGAUCUCAAGGCGACGGUUCUGGAAACCCACAGCACCGACAACCUGCAUUGGGUUCAUCCCACUCCACGGCAGUUUUAGAGUUGCAAGCUCCCACAAAAUGACUCCAAAGCUAUAUACGUCACACCUAUAUAUUUAACAAAAGAUGCACAUUAUUUUUUUUUUCGAUAAUCAAGAUAUAUAUAAACCAAAGCUGUAAAAAAAGAACCAGAAAUAUGUUAGCAAGAAUUACUACUCACUUUUCAUUUGAGUUUUCAUUGCGGAGAACUUCAGGUGCCAUCCACUCAGGCUAGCACAUCGAUGAAAUAGGACAAACGAGAAAAAGAGUGUCAAAAUUAGAUUUAAGAAUUGCUGUCAUAUUUUAUCUCAUUGCCUCCAGAAACUAAGUACAAAACAAAAUAUCAACAAUAAUACAAGAUUCUCACCGUUCCAGCAGUUGAUUUGGACGACAAGAAAGUGUUGUGUUUCAAGCGUGACAAACCAAAAUCGCACACCUGCACAAUUGAAGUCUAGUUUAGUAAAAAUUAUACCAUAACUAACUAAUUAACUGGCAAUAGAAUCUCAUUAUCUACAAGAAACGAGAGAACCAACAGUUAAAAGACGUGAUACCUUCACAUUCCAGUUCUUAUCAACCAGCAGAUUCGGAGACUUCAAAUCCCGGUGAACAAUAGUCGGUGUACUGGCAUGCAAGCAAUUCAUACCCCUUGCCUGCAAAAUACACAGCGAUCUGAGAAACUGGAUACGGAUGUAUCAUGUUCAAAAGAAAGACAGGUAAGACUAUAUCAUACGGUAUCAUGUUCGAAAGGAAGUGGAUAUGGAUGUAUCAUGUUCAAAAGAAAGUCAUACCACAUCCAGAGCCAUCUUUAUUCUACGUUUCUCGUCAAUUUGACAAUGAGGACGAUGAAUAAUCCGAUAUAGACUUCCCCUGGGAAAAUAAAGCACAAGUGGACCAGUUACAGCGCAAAGAUGACAAAUAUAAUCAAAUAUCCUUUGAUAUUGACCAAGGUGCAGAAUUAUACCUCGGAAGAAACUCAGAAAUGAUAGAGAGGUUUGGAGGACGUGUAACAGCCCCCAUGAAAAGCACAACGUUUGGAUGACGCAAUCUACGCAUUAUUCGUACCUUACAUUGCAAACAAAUAUCAAAGAAACAGUUCAGUGGUUUUGGAAAUGCGAUUUUAACAGACACACAGCCAGGCAUGUGAAUAGUGAUCCAUCACUAUGUAUAUGUGACUGUCAAACUUGGAGAAGUACAAAGGCUUGGCACAUCAUAUGUCUACCAUUUUAGUAUGGAGUUCAGGUUGAAACGUUCUAUCAUUGUCAACAAUAUCUAUUUAAAAGCAGCAGCUGAGAGGUUAUAAGUCUAUUUUCUUAAAAAAAAAAAAACACACAAUAAUUAUUGAGGUUGUAACUCUAUUUAUUUUUCUUCCAUUCCUCCCAAGUCUUGGAAGCUAAAAAGUACAGCAUUGUAUGCAUAUAAGAGACGAGAAAUUUACUUCUCUUUUGAACUCAGCCAAAGCAGCACCCGAGAAAUCCUGGUCUAAGAACUUCUUCACGGCAACUUCCUGUAACUCAACAACAGUUCACCAGCCAAAAUUUAGGUCACCAGUUGAUUUUAAUUCCCGUUGAAUUAAAUAAAAAACAGUUUGAAGCCUCUGGCAAUGAACUAAGUACAUGCAUGGUCCCAAGCAAUGGUGACAAAAUAAAAAUCCACCAUAAGGUAAUGAAUAAUAGAGAAACAAUUAACAAAAACUACAAAUCUUAGCUAACUUUAAAGAAGACCGAAAAUAAAGACUUGAACAUAUGGAUUUAAUCAUGUACCCCAACCAUACACUUCCUAAACCUGCUUUCCAGUAAACAGAAAAGCAGUUUUGGCUCACACCGAAAAAUCUCUCAUGGUUGUACAUCAUUUGACAAUGAUAAUUGAUAAGCAUAAAAACUAUGUGAUUUCAUCAAUGCUUCAAAGCCAAAAUACAUUUUAUGGUACUAAUUUAUAUAUUUGAUUUUAUCAGUGACUGGGGCAUAAUCACUAUAAACAAUUUAGCAGUGCCAGUCACCGAAGCGAAUCAGAAAAAAAAAGUUAAAGAAAAGAAACUGGAAAAUUGAAAUGCACAAGGAGAAUAAUAUAUGGGAAAAAACAUAUCACUUCAACAUCAACGGGUCUGAGAUAGGAAAGAAUGAGAAUACUUGACAAAGGCAUCCUUGGAAACAGAUAAAUAUAAAAAAUCAAAUAAAAUAUAACAACAGUUGCCAUACAACGUAUGGAAAAGUAUACAGUGUUUAUAAAAACUCACCGUGCCAUGCCAAUCAGCAUGGUAUACCUCACCAUAUGAACCUAAUCAAGAACAAGAAGAAGAAUUAGACAGCUCCCCGAGAAAAAUAAGUUUUUUGCUUCGCAAAGAAUGAACACUGAAAAUUUUCCAGACAAUAUAAGACAACUUUGACCAGGUAUGGAACAUUACCUAGUCCAAUCCUUUCUCCAAUAACCAGGUCUUCCCAUGGAAUUUCACAUUCACCUACGUCAACAUCCUCAAAUGAUGAGCUAGUGCUAGAAUGAUAUUCAACCCUGCUUGUAAUGGAAUCAAAUGAUGAGUUACAACUUUCUGGAUCCUUCAGUUUCAAAUUGGAUUCCAUAAAUCUGUCAUGUGUGAACUUUCUAGGAUCAUUGAAACCAGUUUCAAUGUUCUGAUGUUCUUUAGAAUCUACUGUGUUGUUCUGUAAAUAGUUCGGAGCCCUGGGUUGUUCCCCUUUAAAAAUUUUGGCAUCACCAUCUCUGUCAAACAUAUUUGAAUGAGCGGUUGAUUUGAAACCACCAGGAUUGACCUGUUCAGAUACAGUAGAGCUGGUCGAAGCUGAAGAUGACGGAUUGUAACCAUUAGGCUCACGAUUAAUUUUUGGGAGGAUACCAUCAUACUCCUUUCUUUUAGGGACUUCAUUGAAAGCAUAUUUAUUUUUCCACAUCAAAGAUGCAGGAGGUCGACCAGAAGCAAGAUUAUUAUUUUGUCUCUGAAGCUCUUCAACUUUUUUCUCCGCAGGUUUGUUAUACAUAGAAGCUUUCCCAGGUCCUUUUAUUUGGAAUGGGUUAAGAUCAGCAAAAAGGUUCUUUGGGUCCUCAGAGUUGUUUUGAGUACAUGGAACUAUAUUUACAUUCAUCCUCAUACCACCAUCAAUUGCAUGAGCCCCACGAUUACCUCUGUUGUACUGUGAUUUUUUGGAGGCUGAUGAGGAAAGCUGAUCUAACUGAGUUGCUUUAUUUGGUAUUCCUGAAGAACCAACUCCACUCUCACUACUUGCACCCGAAAAUGUUGGAAAUGAUUCUCCCUUAUCUGAGCUUGGUCUUCUCUCCAGACCUGAACUACUUUCAACUGCUGUGUUUUGGCUGCUUCCCUCUCCAUGUAAUGGUUUUGGUCCUGGGUAAGCGAUAUCUGUGUCGAUAUAAGAAUGGAAAGUAGGAAGUUUGGUCAAGUUUGGAUUGUAUGGCUUAAAGGUAGCGUCCUUUGAAAUUUGGGUGUCAGUUGGUACGAGUGUUCCAGGAUCAGCCAUCAGAUCCACCAAAAACUCCCUGAAGACAAACUAUAAAUUAAAUCUAUGUAAAAAGGUAAACAGAUCAAGUUGGAAGGUAGGAAAAAUUCAAAGAAGCCUGCUGCUCAACUCUAAGGACAAAAGAAAUCUAAUGCUAUACUACACUCUAAAUGCAUAGAAAGAUGACAAAAUCUCCUAUGUUACUGCACAUUAUGAAGCUAUUCUGUGGCUAGAAUUUGUCGUUAAUCAGUCAAAAUUUAUAAGGUUUUAGAGAUCCGGUAAAAAAUUUAGAAUAAAACCGAACUCACAGCAGCUGCUUAAAAUUAUAGAGACCUUGUAAUAAGUUUUUUUAGACUAAAUUUUUGUGCAUGCACAGCCCAGAAUAAUAUAAGUGAAAACCCAACACAUUAUACAAAAGUAUCAACAUUUAACCACAAAAACCUGCAAAAAGCAAACCACUACCUGUCAUCCUCCAACUUUAUUACAUUAACAGCACCAUCCUCAGCACCAGUGUAAUGAACACCCUUAAGCAGUCUGCAGGGCAUCUUGAUAUUGUCAGCUAGUACCUACAUCCGAAGAAACAGAUAAAUAUACAAAAUGUAGCCUCAACUUCUAUUAAAAGAAAUUUGUAAUGGUAAGAUCAUUAAUUAACCCUGAUAAAGUCCCUACUUACAUUUAAAUGCAAAAAAUAAUUGCUUAAUGUCAUAAAGCAGAGAAAUACAAGCAAAAAACUUGUGUUAUGUCAGCAAAACCAAAAAGCUUCCAGUGGUCACUAACAAUUUAAAUUUAGAAGAUCCAUUAAUAGCAUGGCCAAUGUAUUAAAUCCAAAACAUAAAAAGCAGGAGAAGUUGGUUACGUACAUCCGAGGUGAGAUGAAAAAUCGAAAUACAGGACGUAUACUUAUAUAUUUUUUGUAAGGACAAAACAAGCAUCAACAACAACAACAACAAAGCCUUUUCCCACUAAGUGGGGUCGGCUAUAUGAAUCCUAGAACGCCAUUGCGCUCGGUUUUGUGUCAUGUCCUCCGUUAGAUCCAAGUACUCUAAGUCUUUUCUUAGAGUCUCUUCCAAAGUUGUCCUAGGUCUUCCUCUACCCCUUCGGCCCUGAACCUCUGUCCCGUAGUCACAUCUUCGAACCGGAGCGUCAGUCGGCCUUCUUUGCACAUGUUCAAAAUCACCGGAGCCGAUUUUCUCUCAUCUUUCCUACAAUUUCGGCUACUCCUACUUUACCUCGGAUAUCCUCAUUCCCAAUCUUAUCCUUUCUCGUGUGCCCACACAUCCCACGAAGCAUCCUCAUCUCCGCUACACCCAUUUUGUGUACGUGUUGAUGCUUCACCACCCAACAUUCUGUGCCAUACAACAUCGCUAGCCUUAUUGCCGUCCUAUAAAAUUUUCCCUUGAGCUUCAGUGGCCUACGACGGUCACACAACACGCCGGAUGCACUCUUUUCCAUCCAGCUCGUAUUCUAUGGUUGAGAUCUCCAUCUAAUUCUCCGUUCUCUUGCAAGAUAGAUCCUAGGUAGCGAAAACGAUCGCUUUUUGUGAUCUUCGCUAGAUUGCUCCCGGUCAUUAGUGUGGAUAAGUAUAUAAAUGGAUAGAGAUAGGAAAGCAAACACAAGAUGUACGUGGUUCACCCAGAUUGGCUACGUCCACGGAAUAGAAAGAGUUCUCAUUAAUUGUGAAGGGUUUACACAAGUACAUAGGUUCAAGCUCUCAUUUAGUGAGUACAAGUGAAUGAUUUAGUACAAAUGACAUUAGGAAAUAUUGUGGGAGAAUGAUCUCGUAAUCACGAAACUUCUAAGUAUCGGAGUGUGGUGUCGUCUUGACUUGCCUUAUCUGUCUCAUAGGUAGAUGUGGGCAUCUUCUCUGGAAGUACUCUUCCUCCAUCCAGGGGUGGUAUCUUUAACUGGUGGAGAUGCACAAGGUAAUGUAUCAAUUUCACUUGAAGCUUACUUGUAGUUUCAGGCUUGGUCAAGCGCGAUACAAACCAUGUAGUAGGAGUCCCCCAAGUCGCCGAGCUAGGGGGUCUGCUGAAAGAGGUGACAGACAAGGUAAGCAAUCAGAGCUCCGACUGAUUGUUCACCUUCUCCCCAUCUUGCAGCAGCAUGAAGGAUAAAGAGAAGAAAAAUGAGAAGAGAUGAUAUGAGAUACUUUUGCUUUUGAAGAAGUAACUUUCCACAGGCUUAUUCUUGAACUGAGCUGGAGGGUUUUCUGGUUUCCUCCAGAGUAUAAGGCCGACUGAAGAAUUUGAGGGUCAAAAACAAGUCCAUCAAAUCUAGAGUACGUUCCACCCUGCUGAUAUGGGAUACUUUUGCUUUUGACAGAGUAAUGAAUGUAUCGGCACGUGUGCUGUUACGCUUGUCUCCACAUGCUUCCUUGUAUCCUUCGCACUUGCCCUAUCUGUUCCUCAAGCAGAUGCGGAAUCUUCCCUGGAAACAUAAGAUGUUGAAGAUGAGUACUCGAGAGCAAUGCCAGGUAAGUAAUCAGGUAAGGGGUUCCAGGCAGUCAGUUCCUGGCUGGAAGCUUGAUUCCAAGUGCUGACUGAUUGCUCUCUUUCUCCUUGUCUUGCAGGUAAAAACAAGGCCAAAAGAAAAGACAGGAAAAAAGCAUGAUAUGGGAUACUCUUGCUUUUAACCCUGAUGAUAUGAGAUAUUCUUGCUCUAGUAUAGCUUGUUUGCAGAGGUAUUAUCGGGGGGAAAGAAAGCUGAAUAUUUCGAAAGGCUUCGUUGGGAGUGCCCUCUCAGAUAUGAUGAAGGGUUGAGCAUUUUUGCAGGUCUGCCUGUCCGUUGGGGAUGGAGGUCGACAUAUAUAGGAGUCUCCCUAACAACAAGUAGUAAUGCUAUUCCUUUACCCUGCUUGGUCAUAGCACGGUAGUGGGAGCUGCCAGUUUCACAUGUUUUAACUCUGUCAGAGCACUUUGAAAAAGUGGUCUGUGGUAUCUGGCUCUCGAGAUUCGGAGAACGAUGCCUCUUCGAUUUUUGAGAAAGCAAUCAUGCUGGGGGUAUGACUCUCUCGAGAUUCGGAGAGAGCAGUGUCUCUUCGAUUUUUGAGGAAGUAAUCAUGUUGGGAGUCUGGCUCUCGAGAUUCGGAGGGUGGUGCCUCUUCGAUUUUGGAGCAAGCAAUCUUGUUGGGAGUGUUGUCUCGAAUGUGAGUAAAGGUUGGGCAUGUUUGCUAGUCUACCUUGCCACGAAGCACAAAGGUUGACACACAGGGACUUUCCAAUUAUCCAGCAAUGGUACUGUUCCUUUACCCUCUCUUCGAUUUUUGAGAAAGUAGUCAUGUUGGGAGUCUGGCUCUCGAGAUUCGGAGGACGGUGCCUCUUCGAUUUUGGAGCAAGCAAUCUUAUUGGGAGUGUUUUCUCGAAUGUGAGUAAAGGUUGGGCAUGUUUGCUAGUCUACCUUGCCACGAAGCACAGAGGUUGACACACAGGGACUUUCCAAUUAUCCAGCAGUGGUACUGUUCCUUUACAGUUGUGGGUAAUAAUAUGGUAGCUAGACCUUCAAAAUUUAUGUGUCUAAACUUUUGUUAGUGCUGUUUCUUUGCUAUUCUUUUACCUUUCUUGGUCAGAGCGAUGUAGUGGGAGCUGCAAGCUUCACGUGCUCAACUUUGGCAGAGAACUUUGGCAAAGUUAUUUGUGGUACCCAUGAGCUAUUGUUGCGUGUGGGAAGUGGGUGAUUGAACAGUAAGAUUCAUGUGCUUUCUACUUCACCAGAAGUCUUCGACAGAAUGCCCAUAAUUUCUGCAAAGCUGAGUGUGCGUGUGACAGGUGUUGACAAGGCUAGAAAAGUAGGGCCUCUUCGAUUUCUGAGAUCGGCCCUCGUGGUCUCUGAGCAGCCCAGCUUUUGAGAAAGCGAGCGCCUCUUCGAUUGAUUCGGAGAAACGAUGCCUCAUCGAUUUUUGAGAAAGCAAUCAUGCUGGGGGUCUGGCUCUCGAGAUUCGGGGAGCAGUGUCUCUUCGAUUUUUGAGAAAGUAAUCAUGUUAGGAGUCUGGCUCUCGAGAUUCGGAGGGCGGUGCCUCUUCGAUUUUGGAGCAAGCAAUCUUGUUGGGAGUGUUUUCUCGAAUGUGAGUAAAGGUUGGGCAUGUUUGCUAGUCUACCUUGCCACGAAGCACAGAGGUUGACACACAGGAACUUUCCAAUUAUCCAGCAAUGGUACUGUUCCUUUACCCUCUCUUCGAUUUUUAAGAAAGUAGUCAUGUUGGGAGUCUGGCUCUCGAGAUUCGGAGGACGGUGCCUCUUCGAUUUUGGAGCAAGCAAUCUUAUUGGGAGUGUUUUCUCGAAUGUGAGUAAAGGUUGGGCAUGUUUGCUAGUCUACCUUGCCACGAAGCACAGAGGUUGACACACAGGGACUUUCCAAUUAUCCAGCAGUGGUACUGUUCCUUUACCCUUGUGGGUAAUAAUAUGGUAGCUAGACCUUCAAAAUUUAUGGGUCUAAACUUUGUUAGUGCUGUUUCUUUGCUAUUCUUUUACCCUUCUUGGUCAGAGCGAUGUAGUGGGAGCUGCAAGCUUCACGUGCUCAACUUUGGCAGAGAACUUUGGCAAAGUUAUCUGUGGUACCCAUGAGCUAUUGUUGCGUGUGGGAAGUGGGUGAUUGAACAGUAAGAUUCAUGUGUUUUCUACUUCCCCAGAAGUCUUUGACAGAAUGCCCAUAAUUUUUCGCAAAACUGAGUGUGCGUGUGACAGGUGCUGACAAGGCUGGAAAAGGCUGGAAAAGUAGGUGCCUCUUCGAUUUCUGAUAUCGGCCCUCGUGGUCUCUGGGGAGCCCAGCUUUUGAGAAAGCGAGCGCCUCUUCGAUUUUUUGAGAUCGGCCUUCGUGGUCUUUGAGCAGCCCAACUUUUGAGAAAGCAAACGCCUCUUCGAUUUCUGAGAUCAACCCUCGUGAUCUCUAAGCAGCCCAGCUUUUGAGAAAGCAAACGCCUCUUCGAUUUCUGAGCAGGCGCCUCUUCGAUUUCUGAAGCUUCGUCGAGUGCAGAUUUUUAUAGGGGCUGGCAUUAAGUUCCAAAGCACACUUGAAUCUCCACCAGUAGAAGCUUCAUUCUUGCACUUCUAAGAUCUUGAUUUGUCCGACCUCUUCUCUCUUCAACACCUUUGAAAAUGUCUGGCCCCUCCGACCGUCGUUUUGACUUGAACCUUGUUGAAGAGGCAGCCCCGCCUUCUCCAGACAACAUAUGGCGCCCAUCCUUCGUCUCCCCUACUGGUCCUCUUACCGUUGGGGAUUCCGUGAUGAAGAAUGAUAUGACCGCUGCGGUGGUGGCCAGGAACCUUCUCACUCCCAAAGAUAAACAGACUACUUUCCAAACGGUCUGAUGAUGAGUUAGCUGUUAAGGAUUCGCUGGCUCUCAGUGUUCAGUGUGCAGGUUCUGUGUCUAAUAUGGCCCAACGCCUAUUUGCUCGAACCCGCCAAGUUGAAUCAUUGGCGGCUGAAGUGAUGAGUCUCAAACAGGAGAUUAGAGGGCUCAAGCAUGAGAAUAAACAGUUGCACCGGCUCGCACAUGACUAUGCUACAAACAUGAAGAGGAAGCUUGACCAGAUGAAGGAAACUGAUGGUCAGGUUUUACUUGAUCAUCAGAGAUUUGUGGGUUUGUUCCAAAGGCAUUUAUUGCCUUCGUCUUCUGGGGCUGUACGCGUAAUGAAGCUCCAAAUGAUCAACCUCUGAUGCCUCCUCCUUCUAGGGUUCUGUCCAGUACUGAGGCUCCAAAUGAUCCCCCUCCGAUGCCUUCUCUUUCUGGGGCUCUACCGACUGCUGAGACUUCUCCUAAGCAACCUUUGUGAAGGCUCCCUCUUGUGUGCUUAUUUUGACUCAUGUAUAUGUACAUAUUUGUAGCUUAUCGGGGAUAUCAAUAAAUAAGCUUUCCUUCAUUUCAACGUAUUGUGUUAAAUACACCAAAGCCUUCUUCGCUAAGUUCUUUUGAAUUUUCUUUUGUUAAAGCUUGUAUGUUGAAGGUUUCUGAGUGGAGCAUGUAGGUUGGGGUAGUGUUCUCUUAAUUUCCCGAAUGAGGAAAACUUCUCGGUUGGAGACUUGGAAAAUCCAAGUCACUGAGUGGGAUCGGCUAUAUGAAUCUUAGAACGCCAUUGUGCUCGAUCCUGUGUCAUGUCCUUCGUUAGAUCCAAGUACUCUAAGUCUUUUCUUAGAGUCUCUUCCAAAGUUUUCCUAGGUCUUCCUCUACCCCUUCGGCCCUGCACCUCUGUCCCAUAGUCGCAUCUUCUAAUCGGAACGUCAGUAGGCCUUCUUUGCACAUGUCCAAACCACCGUAACCGAUUUUCUCUCAUCUUUCCUUCAAUUUCGGCUACUCCUACUUUACCCCGGAUAUCCUCAUUCCUAAUCUUUUCCUUUCUCGUGUGCCCACACAUCCAACGAAGCAUCCUCAUCUCCGCUACACCCAUUUUGUGUACGUGUUGAUGUUUCACCGCCCAACAUUCUGUGCCAUACAGCAUCGCCGGCCUUAUUGCCGUCCUAUAAAAUUUUCCCUUGAGCUUCAGUGGCAUACGGCGGUCACACAACACGCCGGAUGCACUCUUCCACUUCAUCCAUCCAGCUUGUAUUCUAUGGUUGAGAUCUCCAUCUAAUUCUCCGUUCUUUUGCAAGAUAGAUCCUAGGUAACGAAAACGGUCGCUCUUUGGUAUUUCUUGAUCUCCGAUCCUCACCCCUAACUCGUUUUGGCCUCCAUUUGCACUGAACUUGCACUCCAUAUAUUCUGUCUUUGAUCGGCUUAGGCGAAGACCUUUAGAUUCCAACACUUCUCUCCAAAGGUUAAGCUUUGCAUUUACCCCUUCCUGAGUUUCAUCUAUCAACACUAUAUCGUCUGCGAAAAGCAUACACCAAGGAAUAUCAUCUUGAAUAUGUCGUGUUAACUCAUCCAUUACCAACGCAAAAAAGGUAAGGACUUAAGGAUGAGCCUUGAUGUAAUCCUACAGUUAUGGGAAAGCUUUCGGUUUGUCCUUCAUGAGUUCUUACGGCAGUCUUUGCUCCUUCAUACAUAUCCUUUAUAGCUUGGAUAUAUGCUACUCGUACUCCUUUCUUCUCUAAAAUCCUCCAAAGAAUGUCUCUUGGGACCCUAUCAUACGCUUUUUCCAAAUCUAUAAAGACCAUGUGUAAAUCCUUUUUCCCAUCUCUAUAUCUUUCCAUCAAUCUUCGUAAGAGAUAGAUUGCCUCCAUGGUUGAGCGCCCUGGCAUGAACCCGAAUUGGUUGUCCGAAACCCGUGUCUCUUGCCUUAAUCUAUGCUCAAUGACUCUCUCUCCAGAGCUUCAUUGUAUGACUCAUUAGCUUAAUACCCCUAUAUAGUUCAUGCAAUUUUGUACGUCGCCCUUAUUCUUGUAGAUAGGCACCAAAGUGCUCAUUCGCCACUCUCAUUUGGCAUCUUCUUCGUUUUCAAAAAUCCUAUUGAAAAGGUCAGUGAGCCAUGUUAUACCUGUCUCUCCCAAAAGUUUUCCACACUUCGAUUGGUAUAUCGUCUGGGCCUAUUGCUUUUUUUAUGCUUCAUCUUCUUCUUCAAAGCUACAACCACUUCUUCUUCCUUCCGGAUUCGACGAUAAAAAGAGUAGUUUCUACACUCUUCUGAGUUACUCAACUCCCCUAAAGAAGCACUCAUUUCAUGUCCUUCAUUGAAAAGAUUAUGAAAAUAACCUCUCCAUCUGUCUUUAACCGCGUUCUCUGUAGCAAGAACCUUUCCAUCCUCAUCCUUGAUGCACCUCACUUGGUUUAGGUCCCUUGUCUUCUUUUCCCUUGCUCUAGAUAGUUUAUAGAUAUCCAACUCUCCUUCUUUGGUAUCUAGUCGUUUAUACAUAUCGUCGUAAGCCGCUAACUUAGCUUCUCUGACAGCUUUCUUCGCCUCUUGCUUCGCUUUUUCUAUACCUUUCACCAUUUUCAUCAGUCCUCUCCUUGUAUAAGGCUUUACAACAUUCCUUCUUAGCCUUCACCUUUGUUUGUACCUCCUCAUUCCACCACCAAGAUUCCUUUUGGUGUGGGGCAAAGCCCUUGGACUCUCCUAAUACCUCUUUUGCUACUUUUCGGAUACAACUAGCCAUGGAAUCCCACAUUUGGCUAGCUUCCCCCUCUCUAUCCCACACACAUUGGGUGAUUACCUUCUCUUUGAAAAUGGCUUGUUUUUCUUCUUUUAGAUUCCACCAUCUAGUCCUUGGGCACUUCCAAGUCUUGUUCUUUUGUCUUACUCUUUUGAUAUGUACAUCCAUCACCAACAAGCGAUGUUGAUUAGCCACGCUCUCUCCUGGUAUAUAACUUUGCAAUCCUUACAAGUUAUACGAUCCCCUUUCCUCAUUAGAAGAAAAUCUAUUUGUGUUUUUGACGACCCACUCUUGUAGGUGAUCACAUGUUCUUCUCUCUUCUUAAAGAAGGUGUUGGCUAAGAAGAGAUCAUAUGCCAUUGCAAAAUCCAAGAUAGCUUCCCCAUCCUCGUUUCUCUCCCCAAAACCAUGGCCACCAUGAAAACCUCCAUAGUUGCCUGUCUCCCUGCCCACGUGUCCAUUUAAAUCUCCUCCUAUAAAUAACUUCUCCGUCUGAGCAAUUCCUUGCACCAAGUCUCCAAGAUCUUCCCAAAAUUUCUCCUUCGAACUCGUAUCCAACCCUACUUGAGGUGCGUACGCACUAAUCACAUUGAUAAGUUCUUGUCCUAUUUACAAUCUUGAUUGCCAUGAUUCUAUCUCCUACCCUCUUGACAUCUACAACAUCUUGUACCAAGGUCUUGUCCACGAUGAUGCCAACACCGUUUCUCGUUCUAUUUGUGCCCGAAUACCAAAGUUUAAACCCUGAGUUUUCUAGAUCCUUUGCCUUACUACCAACCCACUUAGUUUCUUGUAGGCACAUAAUAUUUAUCCUUCUCCUCACCAUAACUUCCACUACUUCCAUAGAUUUUCCCGUUAAGGUUCCUAUAUUCCACGUUCCUAAACGCAUUUUGCUCUCUUGAACUCUACCCUUCUGUCCUAGCUUCUUCACCCUCCCCCGUCUAAUAGGAUCAAAGUACUUCUUUUGUGUGUCCCGGGUAAAGUUGAUAGGAGCAUAUGCUCCCAAACAACUUUGAGUGGAGUCGUUCGAAAAGAAGUUUCUAUGGCCCCCUUGCUCAUUUAACACUGCAUCCGGGUGCCGAUGGAGAUACAGCGACCCUUGCUCACUUAUCACUGUGCUCAGGCCACACAGCGCGCCACUUACGGGUGACGCCCUAGCUUUAGCGCGAUUUUGUUCUGGAUUCAUUUUCAUAAGGAUUCGACGUGAUCAUGGAGUGCCGGCUGUCGACUACCUGACGCCCUCCCCCUCCUCCUUUAUCCGGGCUUGGGACCGGCCAUGUAAGGACAAAACAAGCAUCACUCUUUUAAUAUGAUUAUUACUGAAAAUAACAAAACCUCCAUAAUAUAGAACACAGCUAGCUAUACUAAUCCCAGAAGAAAUCAAGGAUUACAAAAUAUUAUUGCCUAAAGAUUCUAAUAACUGAUGAUAAUCUGAAACCGAACCUUGAAAAGCAAAGCACGAUGUCGGGAAAGGCCAAUGGUUAUGGACCCAAUAGGCAAUACACUUGUUUGCAGAGAUGUCCUCAACUCUGUGCUUCUUUCCAUCCAUCUCGCUAAGACAACAUUUGCAUCCUUUACAGGCCCACCCAUACGUUCGCUAACGAGUUCAGCAAGCCUCAGAACCAAAACACCAACGUUGGUGACAGGACAGUCUAAAGCAAUACACUGUGCAAUUUGCACCAACUCUUCCAAGACAGGAUCAACUGUUCGAUUUACUAAUGAAACUUCAAAUCCAGAACUCCCAAAGUUUGUUUCAAGAUUUGUGAGAGAAGGCAUUUUUCCUUGAAUUGCUGAAUCUGUGGAAAGUCCAUAUACAUCAUAAAAUCCAUCAACCACUUUCUCCUCAUAGUCUAGCACAUUGUACUCCUGGUAUAAACAAGAGAAUACAAUCCGAAUCAAGAUGAGCAAAAGUAAAAACAAUGUCUUGAUAGUAGCAUAUACAAGCAAAACAAAAUGAAAAAAGUGGUAAAAAUACUACAUCUUUCCCUUAUCAACGGAAUCUACUACCACUAAUGGAGGAUUUUUCUAUUUGACACUGAACAAGUAAGAACUUAAAAAUUUAUAAUGAUGCUCUCAAAAGGCUGUCAUUGAUACUCUCUCACUAAACAAUCGUUUCUAACCCAGGACGCAAGACUAGGCUAAGAAAAAAUUGAGCUCAGCUACAUUUCUGCCACGCCUUAAACUACUCUACACGCCAACUUGUAUCCGAAUUUUAGCAGUGAGUUGACAUUCCAAAGUUUUAAACUUAUCAAAAGAUAAUUCACGGGUCAUUUCGAAAACUAGUAAAAACUCCAGAACAUUACAGACCAUAUGCUCAUACAGAUGAAUUCACUACUACACUAUUAGCAGGAUUCUGAUAGUGCAAAAGACCAGAUCUUUCUCUUACUUAAAAAUGAAUUGAGCAAAUUCCAAACAGUCAACCUUACUAUGACAACAGUCAAACUUAAUUAACAGUAAAAUUUGCUUUGCUAAUCCCAAAUCAAACGCAAAUUUAACAUAAUUAACAACCAAUCCAUGCUGAUACACUACAAUCAACUACUAAUUUAUGGUAAAAUUGACUACAAAAGUGACUAAAUUCGAACAUAAAAACUUCACCAAACUCACCCAAUAGUGCCGCGACAAGGUCUCCGCCGCCGCCUCAACCUUAUCUCUUGAAGAAUCGAUCGGAUUGCCGCCCAAGCUCAGCAGCGUCGCCGCGCGGAUCUGAUCCUUCUCCGGAUCAUCCCUAAAGUUCGAAUUCGAAGCGCUGAUCGCCAGGGCGAGCUGGACCUGAUACUCCUCUUCCGACAUCAUAAAGUCCGACCGAUUCACAGUCGUCGACUCCACAGUGCCACCUCCCCCAGCUGCCACGGUUCCCGCCGGCGUCGGCGAAGACGAUGAAGGACUCGCCGGAGCGUUUCCGGAAAUCUGACCCGACGCGGUCCGGUGAUCGGAGGCGCACGACGGCGAGGCUACGGAGGAGGAGGAGGCCGCGGCGGCGGCGGCCUCGUUCGAUCGGGUCGGGUCGUGGUUGCUCCCUAUGUGAAGCUUCUUGAAAAUGUGCUUCAUCGCUUUAUCUCUCUUUCUCUCUCUUCUUUCUUUCUCUACCUUCUCCGCCAGCUUGAAAUCUUCUCGGCGUUUCUCUCACUUUCUUUGUCGCUCGAUUUUUUCUGUUUGGUUUGUUGGUGGUCAGAGAAGCGCGUUCUCGGAGGGAAAACUGACGGGCGCUGUGGGUGUUAUACGUUCGCCGGUAACUUAACGGGCGCUGUCUUUAUCGAAAUUACGGGAUUGACCCACGGGGAUUUGUAAACGAUCUUGUGCCAGUGAAGAAAUUUUGAGUUGUGACGGAACAUUGUUUUAUGUGAGUGAUGGAAAAUUUUAAUUUUUAAAUUAUUAUUAUUUUAACAUAUAUCUUACCAUUUAUAUGGAGACACGUGCUGUACCACCUCAUGUGAUAGUUACACUGAAAAAUAUCUCGUGUGAGUGGAGAGAUUUUUCCAAUGUGACCAAGACACAGGUUGGUAUACCAUGUGUCACUAUACAAAUUGUGGAAUAUAUAUGCUUAAAAGUUAAUAACUUAAAAAAAUAAAAAUAUCAACUUUUUCUAUUAAAACACCUGAUAUACCAUUUAUGUUCCCGUCACAAUUAAAAAUUUCUGAUGCGAGUGGGCCACCGUGACGAGCUUAUGACCUACAUGGCGAUGACGUCCACGUCAGAGAGAGGUGCCUAGAAUUUUCGAGGGGGUUUAUGUUGACAGUAAACGCGGUUAUCUUGGAAGACGGAAGUGGCCUUUAUUUUGUUUGUUUUUGGGGAAGUAAUACCCUCCUUUUGGAAAUUAUCAAGAGUUUUUCUUCCUAUAUUAUAGACAAAAAUAUUUAUGCAGAUGGAUUUAUUCUUUUUCAUUUUUUUUUGGUGAAUUUUUUUUUGGUAAUAUAAAGUUUAGGGAGAGAGGAGGCUACCUCAUUUCACGACCAGAGCAUACCAUAAGUCUUAGUUACUUUUUUGAUUUUUACAAGUUGUCCACUAAGAGGGAUUGCCUUGCGAGGACAAUGAUCCUUACAAACUCAAUACCAUAUGUUUGGACCCAAAAUUAUACCAUCGGUUUGUGCAAUUAAGGUCGUUGAGUGAGCACAGUUCCACACCAUCUGAUGAAAAAGUGAAGAUAAUUUUGUUAUUAUUAAAGGAUAUUUUAUGAUCUUUUAAUAACAAAUUAUCUUGAUAUUCUCUUAUACGGGAUAAUAAGAUGCAAAUUAUAUCUCCAAGCAAGCCGUACAGUUCAAAUGGACUUGGGAUUCUUGUUAUCAGAUUGGAGCAGCAUGAUGGGUUUGAUUAGAAUUGUCAAGAUGCAUGGUCUUCAUGUAUGUGUGGGAUGCCAAGAUGAAAUCAACAUGGAAUGUCCCCCAUGUGUGUUUGGAGUCGGUCAACCAUGCAUAUAGGUUAUUUUGGAUAAUAGCGAUACCUGAUGAUCACCAAAAAUAAUGAAGUGGCAUAUUUUAGUUCAGGAUAAUUAUUAGCACAAAUAUAUGCUAAUAAUUAGCAUAUUCUUCAGGGAUGAGCACGGCAUGGGCUAAAGUGUUUAAACUUUGGCGAUGCGUGCACUUGGACGCAUAAAUUGGCACUAACAUUGCAUGGUUCCUCAUGAUGCUAUAGAAAAAGUUUCAUGUGCAUGCAAAUUAGUCUGAUUCCAUCAAAUCCAACAACCAAUGGUCAAUGAGGAUGGGUCAUUGUCAAGCGGUCAAUUAACGAAUAGGAUAGCUAUCAAGAGUUUUAUUAUAUCAACUGCUUAUCUUCAGGAGAUUCAAGUUGUGGCCAGCUAUAGAUGUUCCAUGAGAAACACAAGCAAAUAGUGCUAUAAAUACAUGAGGAUGUGCAACGUGAAGAGCCCUCUUCAAUUUAACACACAAAAUGCCGUGCGCAAACUCUCGCUUUAUGAGAAACCGCUCAACAACCUUGAGAUUUUUAUUUCUUUUUCCUGCCGACACAUCUUCAGUUUGGAUAAACAGCACUAUGAAGGUAACCGGCGACAUCUUCAGUUUGGAUAAACAACACUGAAGCCAUAGAAUCAGCCGAUUAAAUAGCACAUUCAGUUUUGAUAAAUAGCAUUGCUUCUCGGCCGACUGAUUACCUAUCCAAGUCUUGGUCGACAAGGAUUUUUUAGUCCUUGUUGGUAGAGGUCAUCUCAUCAGCCUUCUUGGCGAAGUGAGGUAUUACCAGGUUAUUACAUUCGGCACAUUGAAAGUCGAAUUUGAUAUUGAACUUCGCAAAACUAGCAACCUUGUCUUUAGGCUCUAGAACCCGAAGGCCGAGACGUGUUCCUUUCUCGACUGCAGUCACAAGAUCAAGAAGUCAGUAGCGUGCCCAACGCAACAUCAACACAUUUUACUCUCCAGCCGAACUUAGCCGACGAGUUGGCACUCCUCGCACACAACUGAAGGACGUAGUUUGCUUGUUAAAUACUCAGCUUGCACGCCACGUAGGCUUAGUAGUUUUUAUGGUCAACAUCAACAUACCAUCUUCAGUGUUAAACUCUAAUUUUUUGUAUUAAGUGAAUAUGACCUACAGUUUUUACACAACUCAAGUAGUUGGACAACUAUGUGUACUCUGGCCUCCAAAAAGGUGAUUAUUUUAGCAAAACUACCAGCUAAUCCCUUUUUCUAAAAGAAAAGUAGAUGCCACCAAGUACUACGGUUUAAUAAUAUUCAUCUUCAUUUGUAAGUGAGAAGUCUUAGGUUCGAUUUUAACCAAAAUUGAAUUUAAACCACAUUAUUGCUAGUCCAUUGUGAGGCUAAGCUCACAUCAUCUCUCUUAAUAUAGAUAAUAUCGUUUGUUAAAAAAAAAAAUAGUUGGACUUUUUUCGAGUUAGAUGGUUAUGAUGGAUAAUACAAAUAUUUAUAAGAAAAAUAAAUAAAUACUAAUAAAACAACAAAAGUGCCGAAAUUAUUUUUCUUUCAUUAUUUAUAUAUAUAUUAUGUACACAUUUAUUCAAAACUUUAUUACUUCAUUUACCAUUAUAUCCUUUCGCAUUGUCAGUCACUGACUCACUGCACCCUCACCCACGCAGCGGAGCUAGGAAUGUCGGAGUGCACCACAAACAACAGAUAAUAACCCGGUGGCGCAAUCUCCGCAGUCGACGGCCCCACCAAGCUCACCCUAUACGUACCCGCCGCCACGUGCGUCACUCCGAUCAGCUUCAAUACCACCAUCCUCUGAUUCAUCGCAAACGAGUGCGUCGUAAACGACGGAGCAACCAAUCUCGCCGACAAAACCCUCACCGACAGAAACUCCGGCACCAAUAUCUCGACAGAAAUCAACUGCCGGUACCCGAAAACAUCUUCUAUCGCAGCUAUCCUCGGCCGAACCGGGUCGUACUCAUCCGACAAAUACGGCGGUGAAAACGCCUCCAGGCUCAGAUCAGUCGGGUACUCGACGCCAGUGAAGUUGUAGUAAAUGUGCGGAUUGCUUCCGCCAACCAAAAUCCGGCCGUCAGGUACCAGGACCGCCGCGGAAUGGUACAGUCUCGCUCUCGACGAACCGGUCAUAACCGAAAACCUGCGGUUCAGAACCUCUGACGGCCGGUAAAUGACUGGUGUGGUAACCGGAUCGCGCCCGUUUUCCCAACCGGCCGCUCCCAGUGCGGCACCAUUUAUGAUGAUGACGUCUCCAGUCGGCAGAAGAAGCAUAUCAGCCAUGACUCGAGGAACCGGCAUAAACUCCACGACCCACCUCGGGUUCGGGUCAUACACGUUGAGCCGCCCGCAGGUGCCAAGAGCGCUAAUAAACUCUCCGUGCAACGCGAGCACGUGCGAGUUCCGCGGCGUGCCGCCGCAGACCAUUAUCUCGACUUCCAUGUUGCCGUUGCUGGGUGUGUUUUCGUCUAGUGGAAGCAGAACUGACGAGCCCGUGCUCGGAUAGUUACGUGGGUCCCCGCCGGGGAUGUCGGGGAGCUCUCGGACGACGGCGUUUUGGCUGUAAUCGAAGAUUAUAGAUUUUGCGUUGGCGAAAAUAAAUAAAUUUCCGUCCGGUAGCAAGUGGAGAAAUGGAUACAAAUUGUUCUCGUCUUGGUCCGUAGUUUGUCUCAAAAAUUCGAGCCAGAUUGUGUGGGGCCCACCUUGGUUUUGGGAACUCCGAGGAUAAAACUCGUAAUUAAAUUGCCGGCGGCCACCGACAAUGAUUACACGGCCGUCCGGUAGUAUUUGAUUAGUAGCGUACCACCUACGUUGUAUUAAAUAGUUCGGGAGCUCGAGCCAAUCACAAUUGUCGUUGUUGCAUGGGGAGAACGUGCGGACGACGCGGUCGCCGUCGUUGUAUCCGCCGGUCUGUACGAGCGUUCCGUCGGGAAGGAUGGAACCGGAGGAGCACCAUGUAUCGGUGUGGACGGUGAGGGGGCGGAAUGUGUUUGAGCCGAGGUCAUAGAGGAUGGAGUGAGCCGUGCAGUCUACUUUGAGGACGGUGUCGUUGGGGUCGCGGCGGCAUUGGCCUCGGGGGAGGGAGAUGUUGGAAGGGCCGUAAUCGGUGCGGUCGAACAUGAUAACUUUGUUGGUACGUAGGAGUUGCAUGUGCAUGGCGGAGAUGCCGACGGAGGAGUGGAGGAGGUGCCAUUGGCCUUGGUUGCCGGAGGAGGGACGGAGAUCAGUUAAUUGGGAUGAAGUUAUUGGAAGAUUGUAGAUUAUUUGUGAGGUUAAAAUUAGGAAGAAAAUGUGAAUGUUCAUAUUGUAGGGGUAGGUCAAAAGAUAGAGACGAAGAUUUGGAGGGCUUUAGUUGGGAACAACUCGUAUAAGUACAUAUAUAUAUAUAUGUGUGUGUGUGUGUGUGUGUGUGUAUGUGUGUGUGUGUGUGUGUGUGUGGUUUGGUGAUGGGAGAUUGUGGAGGAGGGUGGUGGAUAUCUUUGAGAGGGCCGGUGAAGUUUGCAGCUAAAACGGCGGAUGCAUUCAAAGAGUUGGAAGUGGAGCUCAAGAAGUAUGAUUACUAGCUAUAGCCUAUAGGCACCAACUUUCCAAGCUCGAAUUCCGCUCUCUCAUAUUUUCUUUGUCAUUGGAGAAAAACUUGUGUCCAACAGAUUCUUUACGGCUUUACAGAGAAUCGGAUGAGACAACGAGUAUAAAUAGAAGAAAUACAAUACAACAGUUCUUCUUUUUGUGUGUUACUGCAUAAUGACGUAGUUUGACUGAAAGAUAUUAGACUUAACCUUGCCAAAAUCAUUGGAAUUUCAAAAUUUGUGCUCACUCUCCUAAUUGAUGGUUGGUUCUUUAUGAAAUAGCAAAUCAGGCUUUAGUAUAGGCAAAAAAAAAUUAAUCAAGACAAGCUAAUUUUUAAAUAGAGAUGAGAUGAUGAGACGUUGCAUCCGUUUAUAGGUGGCUACUCUCUCAAUAAUGUACUUGGAAACUCAGUUUCUUAUUUUUAAACAAGAUGUCAAAAAUGUCAAUCGGAUAAAAAUAGAUAUUUACAAGAGCAAAAGUGACAUGAUGUCAAAUUGUCACAUAAGCUAUUAAAUUUGAAUUCGAUAUUUUGCUUUUGAUAUCUCAUUUGAAGAUGCUCGAUUUUUUAUCCGACUAAAACAAAACUUGGGCUAUAUGUAGGUACAUUUGACGAACUUGUUGGGACAGAAGUAGCAUCGGCGUAAACCUACAAACAGAUCGGAUUUGGAUCGGAUGGGCUUAAUCCAUAUUCGAUUCAUUAUAAUUGGAUUCGGGUCAUAUUCGGGUUAAGAGAACAUUGAAUAAUCUGUUAAUGAACAUUGUGUCACUUAAUAUAUCAUAUACAAGCAUAUAUGUGUUCAAAUAUAUAAACAACUAAAAAACUGUCCCGUCCCUUCCCAUCGCAUAAACAUUGCACCAAACAACAGACGGAACAAGGGUAAGUUAGUCAUUUAAUCUUUUGGUUCCAUUCGCCAUGCGCUUACAAAACCCAAAAUGAAACAACCAUCCCGUUCCAUCCUGAGCGUACCAAAUAUAGCACAGAAUCUUCGUUCCGUCCUGUUCUGUCUCGUCUGCAUACCAAACGGUACCAAAGAAACUCCAAUACAAUCAUGUAGUUGAGCUACAAGUUCUCAGAAAAAGUAAAGGGGAAAACAGGCGAAAUUCGACUAACCAACCAGCUAUGGACAUGAUCAAACAAAAUAGAUGAGAAACUCUACUCGACGGAGCGAAAUACAAAAUUUUUUAGGAAACACAAUUUAGAGUUCAACCUAAUUCCUUUUACCCCGAUUAUGUCUCGGUCCAACUACUUCCCAUCCAUCUUCUGUUUUAGCUGCUGGCUUGGGAGUUGGUUUACUGCUCGUCGCGUCUGCUGGAUCCAAAUUUGGCUGGGACUCUGGUAUGUCCACCAUCAUGUUUGAUGAACCAUCAGUUUCCUCGUUGUCAUCAUCAUCAUCAUCGUCGUCAUCUUCAUUCUCCUGAAAUGAUAAGGAAGCAAACGAAAAGAAAUGUAAGCAAUAUGAUUUCAAUAUAUAUACUCAUGACUUUGGAGCAUGCGUAUGACCAAUAAAGGUUCUCCAGCAUGAAUUGUUCCCAUGAUUCCAAUGUCCAGAAGGACUUCUCUUAAAUAGGAUAGAGCUACACAAGUUGAAUACCCGAAGAAAAUGCAUUCGCAAAGCAUUUGAAAGAUCUGAUUUCUUUACUAGAAUAGUUGACAACCUAAAAAAUCAUCAAGUAAGUUUAAUACGAGACGAUACAUCAAGAGAUCUUGCUACCUUCAUCACACAAAUUGCAAUAUAACGAUAAUUACCACCUUUUCCCUCUCUGAUUAGAGUUAGCCCUAGACCUCUGCUAUCAAAAUAAAAAAAACUAAGUGAUAGCACGAGAGGAUACUAAUCAUGGAAUGGGAGGCCUCUCAUCUCUUAUCAAGAGCUGCAAUUGUCAACUUAUAAGCACAGUUUCAAGCACAAUUUCAAGCACAAUUUCCAGUAUCACUCUUGAUACUUAAACGAUUAACUGACGUCUAAUUCAGAUCACGUUACAAACAAUUAUAAGUCCUCUUCAAAUAGACUCGUGAAGAACUGACUACUUACAACACAUUAGUGGUAAUAACUAAUAACAUGUGCAUCGUUUAUCGAAUAACACAGCCUCUUUUGUUAUGUCUACUCGAAAGAAAUUUAUCGUAUUCUGCUAAAAGCUAAGGGGAUUGAGUAUAAGUUAUAACUCACUUGUCUAACAUGAGGAACGGCAACUCUUCGACGAUUGGCAUCUCUCAAACUUUCAACAGAAUUGAAAUUGUCAGUCAAACAGUCAUCAUACAUAAACAUUAACUUUUCAGCCACCUGUAAAAGUCCAGAGAAGAAAAACGGAUUACAAACAUCAUCAAGACAGAAAACCAAUACUGAAAAACCGCAUCCCCGAUACAAAAAAAACUAGCCAAAUUGCAGCAAAAAUAUGCAGACAUACAUAAAUGAUAACUAUCAAAGGAAAAUCGCCAGGCUUCCGCUAAAUCAAGUUGACUAGCGCCAUGUGCUGCCCCUGUCAGCCAGGUUCGAUUCUCAUCCCCGUAGUAUAUAGUUAAAUUAAAAUUAGGGCAAUGUGCCACCCCUCUGCACCUAAGUUCGAAUCCCCUCCUCGCAGUAUAGUUUAAUGACGAGAAUUAGAUUAUCGCUCCAAUCAAAAACAAAAAAAAGGUCGUACCUUGUGCACAAGGCUCCCGCUUUACGCAAGCUCUGGGAGAGGUGAAUGUUAGUCUUACCCCCAUUUAUGGAGAAGCUGCUCCCAAGUCUCGAACCCGAGACCUACCCCUCAUGGGUGAAGGCACUUGCCAUCGCACCAAGUUCGACCUCUUCCAAUCAAAAACAAAAUCCGAGGAAAAUUGAAAUGGGUACUUAUGAAUUGAAGAGCAUUACCUCC
RNAcentral lists this long non-coding RNA (69241 nucleotides) under Malus domestica (apple). RNAcentral describes it as "long non-coding RNA (MDOM_LNC011669)". Lineage: Eukaryota; Viridiplantae; Streptophyta; Magnoliopsida; Rosales; Rosaceae. The record is from RNAcentral.